GUGCGGCCACGCAGCCCGCGUUGACGUGACUGCGCGCUGUGCACUCCCCUCCCCUCACCUUGUGCAGCUUUGCAGCGGCAAGAGCCAGCAGCACAAGCGUGCCUGCUGCCGCGGCUGCAGCGCCGACCCCCGGCCCUGGCGCUAUCUUUGCUAGAUCGUGCACACGCAACGGGCCCUCAACACCAGAAGCUGAACGGAAACGGUGGGCACGCGCGAACGAGGCACCUGAGAAGCGUGCAGAACGCUUGAAGAAAGAUGCGAAGCGCAAGCGCCAGAAACGGGCUGCGCAAUCUAAGAAGGCGGUAAAGUAGCAAAGGUAAUUUAAAGAUAGAUGUACAGGGGUAGGUGGUGGUUAUUUUAUGAACCAUGAUUAAGUUCCAUGUUGAAGCACCGUGGAUGAGGGCAUCAUAGUAUAACGCAGAACGCAAGAAUGGCAACUGCCUUUGCGCACUGGUAGUUGUGGCGUGGCCAGUCUGGCUACGCCAUGGCAUGGGUCCGUAACGAUGUUGGACACGCCGAACGUUUACUUAUGAUCGCCGAUACCGAUGGUGCCUAGACAUUUGCGCCUGUACUGAUUUGCAUUUAUGUUCAUGUGCAUCGUGUGUCACAUUCACAUGUUACACAUGCAUGUCCGCUCACACGCCCAAGCGCUACCGCACACGCCCAGACUAGGGCCAGGGGUGGCGGGGGAAGGGUCUCAGCGCCGGCCAGUGCGCGGGGGGCAAGCUCACACGCCCACGGGCUGGAAGGGUCACAAAAACAAAUUCGCUUUUGCAUACAUGUACACUCAAAACUGCUAUCACGACGGGCAGAGUUGAAGCACCGUGGAUGAGGGCAUCAUAGUAUAACGCAGAACGCAAGAAUGGCAACUGCCUUUGCGCACUGGUAGUUGUGGCGUGGCCAGUCUGGCUACGCCAUGGCAUGGGUCCUUAUUGACUCCUUACUGCCGUGUAGCGUUACAAACCGCCACGGCCCCAAACGACAAUCCCAAUCUCUCAAACCGACAAUAGCCUCCACUCAUGCCUCAAGCGGCCUAGCAACUCAUUCGUGGCCCUCAGCGGCCUCCUACCUCCGGCCUCGCAGCUCCCGAUAACCCCACCAAGUCCGCCGUGCCCGCCCCAGCCCGCCCGUGUUGAGGUUGCACUAGUGGCCGAAAGUGCUGCCAGUACUGGGUGUGUCGCAUGUAUGAAGUGCCUGAUAGCAGCAGAGUCCAGACAACCACGCACGCCGCAGCGCCCACGGGUGCCACCACAUUAAUCCGCGGCGGCACCAGGGGGGGCGGGUGGGUUGUCACCGUCCCGGCAGAGGGACGAUCCGAAAUACAGUACAGAAGCACAACGGCAGAUAAGGCGCCGUGUGCUCCUGACGCGUACAAGACCCAGCUCGGUUCGGCCCCAUGCACAGGCACGUACCCGAGCGUCCUGCGCCGUGCGUGACUCUAACGCAACACGGCAGUUACGUCGCAAUAACUAGACUUAUCUCCACUGCGCUGCGAUAAGUCAGCGCUUAUUGACUCCUUACUGCCGUGUAGCGUUACAAACCGCCACGGCCCCAAACGACAAUCCCAAUCUCUCAAACCGACAAUAGCCUCCACUCAUGCCUCAAGCGGCCUAGCAACUCAUUCGUGGCCCUCAGCGGCCUCCUACCUCCGGCCUCGCAGCUCCCGAUAACCCCACCAAGUCCGCCGUGCCCGCCCCAGCCCGCCCGUGUUGAGGUUGCACUAGUGGCCGAAAGUGCUGCCAGAGUUUGGUAGUAGUCCUCAACGCCGGGAGGUCAUGGUGCGGGCGACGGCAGCCCUGGUGGCUGGGCUUGAUUGGCUUCGCGUAUGCAGCUCUUCUCGCAAAGCGCUCGGCCCAACGGCCGGUCAUGCAAACCAAGGUGCGGUCGGCGGUGAUGGCGGUGGCGUUCGUGCCCUUGCGCUACCGAAAUCAUGUGUCUCGAACACCGCGGAGCGCUCCGCCCAUCGCCUAGCUUGCGCACGAACGUACGGUCCUAGUUGCACACUCGACAGCGGUCAAUAGAACGAGCUUCGUGCUUGGGGAUAUUGGCUGCACGAGCAGCACCAUCACGCGGGGAUGAGCGCCGCCGGAGGCGCCGCCGGCACCUGCUGCAGGCGCAGGGCGACGCCAACGCGGGGCCUGACAGCGCCACACUCCGUCGGUCAUGGGCGGCCAAUGGUCACUACCAGAAGACAAGCAGCAAUAGGAACACGACUGGCUUUGCAAGGGCCAUGAUACCAGACUCACAAACGUAUCAGGUGCACCAAUGGCCACGACAGAAACACACAUGCGUUGUCCCGCGUGCGCCAGCCAUGCAGACGACGCCGGGGCGUUACAGGGAAACACAUGCAUCCUUGUUCAGGUGUGUGGCUUCUGGGCAGCUGUGGCCGUCCGUGUGCCCAGGAAAGGUAACAGUGCGUGUUGGCACGUGUUGGCACGAACCACUGGAGACCUCGGUACUCUCUACCGGCCCCCAGGGCCAUGCCAUAACACGUGUUGACGUUUAGGCUGCUCGGAACAACCUUGGGAAUAAUAACAACGUCGUGACUCGAAGCUGGGACAGGCUAGCCAACAUGCGCCACGCAGGAGAAGGCGCGAGUUGCAACACUAGAGCGGUUUUACGUACGCGAGUCACGCGCGGCAACCUGCCCUUCACCCGCGCCGUCGUGGUGUAGGAUGCGGGCAGCCAUGCCCAGCCGUGCAGCAUGGCCACGAACACUAAUUUCUUUCUUGCUAGCUAGGUGCCAUGCUUGAGAUUUGCAGUGUCUUGCAUAAGAGUCACUACCCAUCAAGCAGUAGGUACGCCCAUAGAUAGCAUCACCCCGGCGGACGCAGGACAGGCGCGCACGUGAAUGUUUGCCUCCAAACGCCGCGGGGAUGCAUGCACACAAUGUCCCGUACGUGCCGAUACCGUACGCCACGGCGGCUGUGGGGUGUACCGUAAUAGCAGGGAGGGCAACAUGAAGGGUAACACCUCAGCAACCCCAGCAAGGCUGGCCUGGUCGAGCGGCGCGGAGGGGUGAAGGAUACCCGGCACGCGUGGAACGCGCAAUGUAUCUAUAGUGAUAGAAGGCGUAGUGAUGGGAGGAAAUAAGGAGCACUCGGGGCCGCGAUGGCGGGUUGGAUGCGCCACGGGCCCCGGCCCAGCGAAAGGGAGCGAACGCUGGGCGGAGCCGGUGGGUGAGCGACUCGAGGGACGUGCCAGUACUGAACAGCAGUGGCGGAUGGGUCAUCCAAUGUGAGAGAUGAUACAGCCACGCCGGCAGCCAAACUCCGCACUCGACCACGUACGGGCACGUCGUGGUACUGCUGUGAGGAGGCCGGGCUGAGUUGGGAUGCCUGCCGACUGCCAAGCCCGCAGGGCACUGUCAGCCUGGCUACCCACAUGUGAGCCUGUGUCGCCAUACGCUCUUACUUAAUAGUAAUGACAUAUAGCACACUGCUCCUAGCACUUCGGUGAUAAGUAAUUGCCCCGCCGGGUGAAGUAAGGCCGGGGCUGAAGGGAACCAAGGUUGGUACCCUAGGCGUCCACUCGCGAGUGGGCAGGCGACACAUACAGUUGGCAUUGACGUGCGUUGCGGAACUAAUGCGUACGUUGGCUUGGGUCUCUGGGUUCAUGAGGCAUUGACAGAACACGCUGCCCCUGCUAUGGCUCUGACGAAGUAACAUGUAUGCAUACAUGUCCUGAAGGAUUGGCAGGGAGCGUGCCGCACAGCACGCAAGCCGCGUGACUACGGUAAGCAUGAGGCCAUAACGUGACACAGAUGCCGGGCGUGCCAUACAGGCGGCCAACGCUACGGCACAAGCCAGCUUGACGCGUCCACAGAUACAUACAUGGCGCCUGACACCUGGAUAGGAGCUAUCAGUCUGACUGUGGGGUCGAUGCUACCCCGGCAUGGAUCUGGGUUGAACGGUUGGUGGUACCAUCGCGCGGGCAUGGCGGGUCGAGUAGCGUGUUUCAUGCACGGCACUCCCGCUAACCAGCUACACACCGCAGUGUACUGGUUAUCCAACAACUACAUUCAGACCAUUCUGGUAUCCCACUCAAACCUGCGCCAAGUGUCAGGAAAAGCGCUUGCCAAGUCGGCUACCCGCUUUCACAGGAUGGCGAGCGGGUGACUGGCAUGUGUACAGGCGGGUGGGCCAACAAGAGGGGAGGGCGGAUGGGUGCCGUGACUUGGUGGUGGGCCCCACCGCGAGCAGCAACAGCCCAGCCGAACACACGGGCGCCAUCCAAACCCACCAGGCAGGCUGUAAUCCCAGCUCCGACCGUAUCUCGCAACAAAAUGUUGGUUGCGCAGGGUCGGGCUCACUGCGUGACACAGCGUCCGAUGCCUGGUGCAGGGCACGAAGGCAUGCUUAUGCGUCAUGCGGUAUUGUUAUUGGCUGGGCAAUAGCAUGCUGGCCGAACUGCACAAAACUCCACAUCGCUCACUGAGGGCGAAAUAUCCGGAAAAACAAAUUCGGCACUUGGGCCUAGCGCACACAUCGAAUGCAUAUAGGUUGGCUUGGGGUGCGUCAGCCAAACUACAAGGGUGAUGCCGCGUGAUAGUAUGAUGUGCGUGCGGACCUCAAGACGUACAGGGUGACGCAUGAUCACGUAAGCCCGCUCCGUUGUCAACACGAAGCAAUAGCGAGGCGCAGGCUUGCCGUGCACGGUACACUCAAGGCGUAUUGCGACAGGGCACGCAGCAGGGCACGCAACAAGUCGAAGCGUCCAUAACGACAGGGCAGGCAGCAUAAUUGCAUGCGGCACACGGGCCAUAUCGCAAGACACAUGAUGCGAGGCGCAAAGCCUGUUGCUGGCGGCACACACGCCGUAUCCGAACGUGGCGCUCAGACCACACAUUGUCCACAACGCAAAGGCAUGUACAACGAAGGCACGUAAGCAUUUCAAUGCCGUCUAUAAUCCACAACGCAAGAGUGUGGAGCCCGUUGCUUGCGGCACACAGGUCGUAUCAUAAGGGCACGUAUGCCAUCUAUUACCCAAAAGCAAGGGUGCGAAGCCGUUACUUGCGGCACACAGGUCACAUCAUACGGGCACGUAUGCCGUGAAUUGUCCAUAAAACAAGGGUGCGGAGCCCGUUGCUUGCGGCGCACAGGCCGUAUCAUAAGAACACGUACGCGGCGCAUUGUCCAUGAAGCAAGGGCGCGGAGCCCGUUGCCUGCGGCACACAGGCCGUAUCAUGAGGGCACGUACGCCGUGAAGUGUCCAUGGAGCAAGGGCGCGGAGCCCGUUGCCUGCGGCGCACAGGCUGUAUCAUGAGGGCACGUACGCCGUAAAUUGUCCAUGAAGCAAGGGCGCGGAGCCCAUUGCUUGCGGCGCACAGGCCGUAUCAUAGGGGCACGUAUGCCGUCCAUUGUCCAUAAAGCAAGGGCACGGAGCCCAUUGCUUGCGGCGCACAGGCCGUAUCAUAAGGGCACGUAUGCCGUCCAUUGUCCAUAAAGCAAGGGCGAGGAGCCCGUUGCUUGCGGCGCACAGGCCGUAUCAUAAGGGCACGUAUGCCGUCCAUUGUCCAUAAAGCAAGGGCGCGGAGCCCGUUGCUUGCGGCACACAGGCCGUAUCAUAAGGGCACGUAUGCCGUCCAUUGUCCAUAAAGCAAGGGCGCGGAGCCCAUUGCUUGCGGCGCACAGGCCGUAUCAUAAGGGCACGUAUGCCGUCCAUUGUCCAUAAAGCAAGGGCGCGGAGCCCAUUGCUUGCGGCACACAGGCCGUAUCAUAAGGGCACGUAUGCCGUCCAUUGUCCAUAAGGCAAGGGCGCAAAGCCCGUUGCUUGCGGCGCACAGGCCGGAUCCCAACGGCACACACGCCCUUUCCCCAAGGGCACGCGGGCCCUGCGGCCUGGAUAGGCAGACAGGGGAAGUACCGCGCCAAAAGUCCUGAGGGUCUUGGGGAGGUGGGGGUGGCACGAUGGAAGAUGUGGAAAGGUAUUGCACAAAGCUGUGAACUGUAAAGCGACGGGUAGACACGAAGGCACGGCAAGCAGGACCCGCAUGGCAAGCAAGUAGCCCGCCCGCACAGCUGUGCAUGCCCUUUUGCUUUCAGCGACUUGCCGAACGCCUUGUCCGCAACGCUUCGCGCGCCUUUGCUCCGCUUGAAAGCUCCGCUCUGCUCCGAUUUGCUCCCGAAUGCGGCCCCCGAACCAAAGCGUGGUCCAAAGCGCCAGAGAAGCGUCGAAGGGCAUUCCCUUACGAUCAGAGAGCGAGCGUGAUCAAGCUAAGGGGUUCCAUUGAGCAGGAUCGCGCAACAAAACGCUGCAACUCCGUCUGAGUAUAUAUUAAACGCUUAUUCGGUCCAGACAUGGUAAAGUAUAGUUAGAACCAGGUAUAGGAUUGCAAAGAAAGUCCAGAAAUGUAGGGAACGUUUAAGUGCGACACACUGAGGUCACCGUCCCGGCAGAGGGACGAUCCGAAAUACAGUACAGAAGCACAACGGCAGAUAAGGCGCCGUGUGCUCCUGACGCGUACAAGACCCAGCUCGGUUCGGCCCCAUGCACAGGCACGUACCCGAGCGUCCUGCGCCGUGCGUGACUCUAACGCAACACGGCAGUUACGUCGCAAUAACUAGACUUAUCUCCACUGCGCUGCGAUAAGUCAGCGCGUAACGAUGUUGGACACGCCGAACGUUUACUUAUGAUCGCCGAUACCGAUGGUGCCUAGACAUUUGCGCCUGUACUGAUUUGCAUUUAUGUUCAUGUGCAUCGUGUGUCACAUUCACAUGUUACACAUGCAUGUCCGCUCACACGCCCAAGCGCUACCGCACACGCCCAGACUAGGGCCAGGGGUGGCGGGGGAAGGGUCUCAGCGCCGGCCAGUGCGCGGGGGGCAAGCUCACACGCCCACGGGCUGGAAGGGUCACAAAAACAAAUUCGCUUUUGCAUACAUGUACACUCAAAACUGCUAUCACGACGGGCAGACGCCCUGCCCUCGCGCUGCCUGCGCGUAUCUCUUACCCUCGACCCGCGCUGGCCCUGCCCGUGCCCAGUGCUUGCUCUGCUCUCGCCCUUCCCGCGCGAAGCUCUUACCCUCGCCCCGCCCUCGCCCGCCCUCGCCCCUCCUUUGCCCCUGCCCCUGCCUUUGCCCCGCCCUCGCCCAGCCCUUGCCAGCUUUCACCCUCCCCUAACCCUGCCCUCGCCUUCGCCCUGCCCUUGCCCCGCCCUCGCCACACGCCCUGCACUCAUCCUUCCCUCGUGCCUCGCCCUCGCCCGCCCCGUGCCCUGCCCUCGCCCAGCUUUCGCCCUGCCCUCACCCUUCCCUCGCCCCUCCCUCGCGCCUCGGCGCCUCGCUCUCCCCAUGCCCUGCCCUCGCCCAGCUUUCGCCCUGCCCUCACCCUUCCCUCGCCCCUCCCUCGCGCCUCGCUCUCCCCAUGCCCUGCCCUCGCCCUGCCCUCGCCCCACCCUUGCCCCGCCUACGCCCCGCCCUCAAUCUCGCCCCGCCUUCGCCCAGCCCUUGCCCAGCUCUACACCUCCCCUUGCCCUGCCCUCACCCCUCGCUCUCGCCGUGCCUGCACCCUUCCAACGCUCCUCCCUCGCCCUCGCUCUGCUCGUGCCCUGCCCUCGCCGGUCUACCACGCGACAUACCCACAACCCCACGCCCAGGCUCACCCUCACCCACCCGCACACAUCACACGAUUUUGUGUUUGAAAGCUGAUGAGCUACGGCCCCCUCAAGCCAGCUGGACUUGUGCAGCCAACCUGGAGGUGGUUGGCUUGCCCCUUCCCCCGAAGGGGGAGGGGCAAUAGCCAUUGCGGUCGCAUCGAGCUCGCCGCGGGGGGCCCUCCCGGUUAUUCCAGUUUUGAGUUGAGUUAUAACCUUGAAACCCGAGCGCAGCGAAAUUUGUCGUGCAAAUAAUGCGCCUUUCUAUGUAUGUAUUGCAAAGCGUAACUUUAUGAAAACGCAAGCCCUAUGCCAGAGCGGGGUAAACGCACAAGCGCAGCGUUUGCAUUAGAGCUCCAGCGCAACAUACAAUAUAUCACAAAUUGUAUCGAUAAUCAAGGCUCCCGGCACGGAAGGACGCAAGACGGAGGAAUCGACGCGUUGGAGGAUCCCGGAAAUUGCGCGCGAAAGCGCGAGGCGCAAAAGGUUGGCGCUAUCAGUUUUAGUUUCCCCGCAAUGACGAAUGCCGCGUUCUGUAUUCUGCUCGCACAUCACCCGGCACAUCGGCGUUACUCUCGCCCGCUUCUCGCUGGCUGGUCCGCCCUGAGUCCGUGCCCCCGCUGAGUCCGAGCCCCCAUCCCCGCUCACUUACCCACCCCCAGCCCGCGGCGCCCUGAGCUACCGAAGGCAAUAUCAUGACCGGUAGUAUGGCUGCUCGCAGCCCCCAGCAGACCUAUAUGAUACUUCCACCAUCCGCCAGUCCAUCCCACCCCACCCCAUCCCCACACCGCAUUCCGGGGCGCACGGCAUGGAGCGCCCUGAGGGGGGAGGGGCAAGCCGGAGUACUGCGUAGCGGUAGGUGUUUCCGGUCAGGGGCGGGAGUACCCUGGCUUAAGUUCGUCCAGGAAGCAUUCGAUGGCCCCUGCGUGCUUGCACGCUCGGGUUGUCCUCUCUCGUACUAACGACAUUCCGUCAUCUGCCAUCUUGCACAUUGCUACUACACAUUCGUAGACCCCAACGCCCCAAACAUCCCAAAAACACAACACCCUGUCAAAUUCUCUAAGUGGCAAGGUGAGGUUUGUCACACACUAACUCAGCUGUCGGCCACACAUUCUACUUGUUGCCGUACUAGCUCCUCUGUUGGAGCCCACUACCUGGGCAAGAUGCUGCCAUAUGUCUAGCCUCUGGUACUACCACCUCGUUCCCUUGUUCCAUGCCGCCCCGUGUGAACAUUGAAGAGCCUGGCAGCCCUUCCUGAACAUCCCCCAUGUCCAGGUUCGGCAUCGCGGUACCUCGGAUCGAGCGCUUCGUUCCCUUUCUGGUUUCUUAGCACACGUUGCAGGGAUACGUACACAUGACCCUACAACCCCUACUUGCUGCCUGUUCCCCCCGGCCAGCAUUGCCUGGCGCUAGCGCUGGCCUCGCCUGAUGGAGCGCCCCACUCCCCCCAUAUGAGGGCGGCACGCGGAUGGCAGCAUCAUACAUCUGCUGCUGCAGAAGUCACCGCGAUGCCGGCGCUCAGCUCCUAUACCCACUACGCCCAAACAGGCCCACAGGUCGCCCUUACGACACACUGCCAGCGGCCCCUUGUUGGCCUCCACCUGCACGUGCACCCUUCAGUGCUUCAAUGGCCGCCUCCAACUGCUGUAUUUGGUCUUGGGCCGCCGCAAGCGCUCUCUUGACCGCCUCCGCAUCUGCCUUGGCCGCGGCCGUCUCCGCAUUUGCCUUGGCCUUGGCCGCAUUUGCCUUGGCCUUGGCCGCCUCCGCAUUUGCCUUGGCCGCAUUUGCCUUGGCCGUCUCCGCAUUUGCCUUGGCCUUGGCCGCAUUUGCCUUGGCCACCUCCGCAUCUGCCUUGGCCGCCUUCACUUUGGCCUCCGCUUUCACCAUCUCCUUGGCCACUGCCGCCUACGGACCGUAUUGCAAUUGUGGUGGGGGCCGUGUGAUGUGGUGUGUGUCUCUAUGUAAGUAAGAGCACGUAUUGUGCUGCCCGCCCACGUACACUUCAAUCCCGGACGCCAUUGCACUCUCUUUGCCGCCCGCCAGCGCACCAAUGAUUCAAAGGACUUUCUACGAGAUGCGGCUGCAUCAGCCGGCCAGCUCUCCCACGUUCUGCAUACGCAUGUCGUGCUUGUUGCACCUCCGUCCCUCAGCCCUCACCUUCCGCCGUUCCUCCGCGUCACGCACCCACUGCUCCGCCCGGGUCUGCAGUGCGCCUCGGCUCUUCUCCAUACGGCCCGGCAAGUCUGCAAGCUCCUCCUUGGUGUAGAUGAUGUGGUGCAGCACCGCCAGCAGCUGCGUGCAUGAGCAACAUGGUACAGGCGGUUGGGCGGUCGGAAGGGGAGGUAGCCAUGAUACGGUACUUGCAACUGGCCCGCGCCGAUCUCAGAGACGCACCUGCAGGUAGCUGUCACUUGGUUGGUCGAGGCUGAUGUGAAUGGUGUCCAUCUGUUACAUCAAAGGGCGUUCACACGGCAAGAGCGGGGGUGUUGGGUUGGUCUUCAUGGAAUGGUACGUAGUCAGCCCGGAGGCGGGAUACAGCGGAACACUCGCAGCUCUACAAGGAUGCUUGGAAAAGCGGUACAGCAUGCACUGAAGACUGCAGACGAAGUUGUUACCAAGGGGGGGAUCAUAAACCAGCCCAGAGAGCACGGAGGAUCGGCGUCAAUCGUUCUCUUGGAUGGACGCCAUUGAGCCUGGUUCAACUGGUCGGUAGACAGCCGACCGUUGCGAGUCACCCAAACUCACAGCGCGCGUGUACACAGCCCUAAGCAAUAUGUGAGGCGUGACGCAUUGUACUACUCGCCUGUGACGACCAGAGCGGUACCGGCGCCACAUCGAAACGAACCGCCGGUAUCACGAGGACAUGCGGGGGUGCACGGGUGAAACGUGAGAUGAGAACAAGCGACAGCAGAUAAGCAACAUCAGCUAUGAAGUCUGAGUCUUGCACGCGCGAGCCUGCUGGUGUCUAAAGAGGGCCAUCAAGUGAGGCGGGGCCGUGUUACGUUGGCUUCGCAUUGGCGGUUACCAGACCGGAUCCACAGCAAAGUAGCAAGGGCACACGCGAUGGCAGGGGGAGGAAUGCUGCGCCCCACCAUCCGGCGGCGUAUGCAUUACCAACUAAAUGUGUGCACAGCCUCAUAACCUUACAAGGGAAUUACGGUAUACCAGCCAAGCGGGUUCAUGGUCAUAUUGGCGUCAUUUAAACAAAAGCGCACCCGCUUGAACGAGUAUCGUGAUCCCAACGCCGCCGCCGCCCCGCCCGCCGCCGCCGCAGUUGCCGUUGCUGUCGGCGCGCGCGCUGCUGCCGCCGCGUUUUUCAAUGCUGCCACCGCCGCCACCGCCGCCGCGCCCGCUGCUGCCGCCGCAUUUCCUAAUGCCGCCGUGGCCGCAGCCGCAGCCGCGCCUGCUGCUGGCGCCGCGUUUCCUACUGCCUCCGUGGCCGCCACCGCCGCCGCGCCCGCUGCUGCCGCCGCGUUUCCUAAUGCCGCCGUGGCCGCCACCGCCGCCGCGCCCCCUGCUGCUGCCGCGUUUCCUGAUGCCGCGCCGUGGACCGCGGCAGCAGUCGCCUUGGUGCACCGCAGUCGCGUUACGCGUACGAAGUCCCAAGUCUCGAUGUCCGUCAGGAUUACCCUGGCCGUUUACAGGAGCCAGGCGCAAGGUAGGUGUGUGGACGGACAGGAGGGACACUGCUGGGAAUAGAGCCCAUGGCACGCACUGUUGACAGCGUUGCGCUACUCGUCACGCCGGCUUUAGAAUCGAGGCACGCAACCCAACUCGUUAUGCCGGGCUUACAUGUGUACACAUCGAGGGGAUGAAAGCGCAUACGACCGCGCACAACUCACCACAUCUCCGGCUGGGAGGGGACCUUCUUCAUCAGCUCGAGCGCGCAUGCUAGCGGCUGCCAGAUAUGCUGUCUAAAGACUGCUUUCGCCUUCACCUCGGCCACGAGCAAAGGAGUUAAGCCGUCUGACAAACCGACGGAUUCAAGGCCCUCCUCAAUGGGUAGCGCGGUGUUGCCAGGAGCAUGCACGAGUACAUACUCCGAUCUGCCUACGGUUACAGGAAGAAGGGAGUUUGGGUUUUGCACAUCUAUCCCCGUCUCGGAUCAUUAGAUCGACUACAGCGUACCAACAACGCGCCGGACAAAGUAGACAAAACGAUUGGCACACGCACGAGAACGCGGCGACUUCCCGAUCUGCUUCCCCAGACCCUGCCACUCACCGCCGACCGCCCCGCCAGUCAGAGCUGCCUCGUACCCCUGGAUGGUGUGCGAGGCAGCCGCGGCCGGCGUGUCCUCCGCUGUGUCCGGCUCGCCCUCCUGCUCGCCCUCCUCCUCGCCCUCCUCCUCGUCGCCCUCCAGCUCGCCCUCCGGGGCACCCGAAAGCACGCAGACCCUCCUCUUAACACCAUCGCCCACUUGCAAUGCCAGCAGGUUCUUCAGAAUCUCCCAGAACUGGCGGGGGUAGGGAAUCAGGUAAGGACGUGUCAAGCUAGCGGAAGCGUGCAGAGCCAUGCGCACGCCGGCACGCUCUACCUGCAGGUGGCGUGGCGCCUCCACAUGCAGCGGCUGUAGCACGUAUGAUUUGGCUACAAAGUGGUCCAUGAGAAUGGGAAUUAAAAGUGAGUCGGGACGCUGCAGCCAUAAAUCGUUUGGAAAUGGGCAAUGAGGCCUCAGGCGUUCUAGCGCCCUAGGCCCCAGCUCAGCGUCGUAAGUUUGUUUGAACAGGGCUUCUGUCAUCUCGGAAGAGCGUUUGUGUCUGGUGCUUCUGCCAUCCUCGAAACUAGGAGACGCUCUGCGUUUUGACAUGUUUUGCACAGUCACAGAAUGCUUCUUGGUGAAAGGGGUUUCUGAUGAAUAUCAGAUAAGUCAACGGGCAAGAAAUGAAGACAGCGAGUGAAAAACAGUGGCACGUAUUGCCGUAGAUUGAGGCCAAGCACAUAGUACAAAGUUGGUUUAGCUAAUAGGCUCUGUGUGGGAGCAGCUGACAUCGACUGGCGUGCCGGUUCCGGCCCACCCAGCUCGCCAGCCUGCACAUGUUCACGCUGUAUGUACCGCCGCUGGCAGCCGCCUAGCCUGGCGGCAAAGGGGAGAUCCCCUGGGCGUCCAUAGUCGGUAUCCUGGAUGGCGAGGCGCUGGAGGCUCGGCCCGACCUGCUUACGGGCCUGCAGGUGCCGCUGGUCAGCAUGGACCUGCAGACGCCGGCGUCGCGCGAGGGUGCGCCCACGAUACCUAGGGUUGCCGCUGGCUGUGCACCGGUUCGGCGAUGAGGGCAGCUGCGUGGCGGCACCCGAGGGCGAGUGAGGGAACGCGUAACGACAGACAGCUGGUGCUGUGCGGUGCUGUGCGCCUCUGUUGCAUGUGAGCGGCGAGCUGCGUGGUCUGGCGGUGGAAUAAUGUUGCCAGGGGUCUGCCUUCCUGAAUGUUGCAUGUGCCCAGAAGUGCGUGAUAUGUGUGUCAGCAGGCUUCAGGCCGCCGUUUGAAGUCCCGCAGGGAAGCAGCAUUAAGGUCCGCUGCAGCCCUCCUCAGCGUCUGUCGGCUGCUGGAGCCGGGCCACAGCUGCACGGCCGCAACUUCAGCCACAUGCUGGGCCUACAAGGGCACUACAAGGACGGGUUCGUGCGCUACGCAUGCUUUCUGUGCGCUACGCAUGCGUCUAGGACUGGACUCAUGCGUGCCAGAACGCAAGAGAGACGCAUGAAUGGCUGGGCAUCGGGGGAGCCGUGGGGAGCGCAUGGCUGUGCACAUCCGGGGCGCAUGCAGACGCAUGCGCACGACCCUGACGCAAGCACUGAGAAACGCACGUACUACUGUUAUUACAUAGUCAUAGACAGCAAGCACGCCUCACUCGCUCGAGGUUCGCGUGAUCGCCGUGCACUCCAACAGACCCUGCUAUAUGAUGCAAUGCGUAAAGCAUAACGAGCAACGUAAGUAGGCUAACAGGCCUUGCAAAGGAUUCACUCGGACAUAAACUUUAGUCUUUACACGGUUCGAGCCUAAACGAGUGAACGCAUAUGUAACGUAUGAUAUGCUGUAACAUCUGGGCGUCGCACCAAGCAACCGGCAUGGAGGCUGUGGCCGUCGCGGCUGCCUGCCAAGGGCGGGGGUCGUGUGGCAUGUAGAGUGCUGGCUAGUGCCCCAGCAGACCCGCCGGUCCCCCAGCCCUCAACGGGCGUGAGCUCUUCAUUCAAACCUUGAUAAGUUGGAGAUAGGUCUGCAGCUGCUAGCCGUGUAUUACAUUGUAGUUGCAGCAAGGAGGACAUAGCGCAUAGACGAUGAGGUGUUCGUGUUCGCCACCGCCAACCAGCGGUCGGCGCCCAGUUCUGAUGGCAAGUGCUAAAGGCCGCGGUCGGCGGGUCGUGCUGUGUCAGGAACAGGACAGGGCGGUUACGAACAGUGUGACGAGCGACGACCAGCAGGGCCGCAUCCUUGAAGUGCUGACCAGAUUGGAGGGAAAGCUGGAUGCACUGGUGCGACAGCAGGCCGAACUGGUGCGAGAGCAGGGCGCACUGGUGCGCGGGCAGGCCGCAGUGACGCGCGGGCAGGCCGCAAUCACGGAGCUGCGAGUCAUACAGAACCUUCCAGCCGGCCUUUGUGGGUGCAAGCGAGCGCGCAUUACGACGGCCGCCCAACUGGACAAGCUCCUCGGCCCAGGCACGGCCGCGGCGGUGGAACGUGAGUUGCUGGGCAGUGCCGAGCGCUGCUACCUGGCACUGCGCGCGCUGCUGUGGGCCGCGGCACGUGAGCUGGACCGCGUGUCCAAGCAAGCAUCGGCGAAGGAGGCUGCUGGGCAGGUGGCAACGGAAGUCGAAUCCCUCAAGGUAGAUUGUGCACGUGUGCUGUUCGACUUCACCAAGUUGUGUGUGUAUGUGUGUAUGUGUGUAUGUGUGUAUGUGUGUGUGUGUGCGUACCGUGUGUGUGUGUGUGUAUGUGUGCGCGCGCGCGUGUGUAUAGGGGUGUGCGUAGAUGUGUGUGUAGGUGUGUGUGUAGAUGUAUAGGUGUGUGAGAGCGAGAGGUGGGUGUAGUCAGGUGCGUUAGUCAGGUGCGUGCUGUUGUUGUUGUUGGUGUAGUCAGGUGCGUUAGUCAGGUGCGUGCUGUUGUUGUUGUUGGUGUAGAUGUAUGUGCAGCUGUUGGUGUAGAUGUAUGUGCAGCUGUUGCUGCUGCUGGUGCAUGUUGCCGGUGAGACCUAGAAGGGCGUGCCGUACUAGGGGUGGGUGGGCUCUUCCUCCGAUGGGUAUUGUUUACUUAGCAGGUGCUUGCUUGAGUCUGUGCGUGCGCGCGUGCGCACGUGCAUGUGUGCGUGCCGGGUGCAUGUGGGUGCGCCCUAUUUCGUUAUCUGCUGAGCUUGUGCUAAUCAACAACGCACGUGUACAGGAGGAGCUGUUGAGCGCUGCUGCCGCGGAGUGCAACCCGGACCCCGACGUGGUGUGGGAUUUCCUGCAGCGGACCCAGGACGUGCUGGUUGCUGCCGGCGGGCUGAAGGAGACCCAGGACGAGGACUGCCGCCAGCAGGGCUUGUCGCAGCGGCUAAAUGCCGCCUUCGUGCUUGUGCGCCGUGUUGGUGAGUUGGGGGCUCGCGGUGCUAGUGGCCCGCGAGGGGAGGCAGCCCAACCCUAGGGUGCAGCCGUGUGGCGGUUUGCCGGAUGAGUCAGACUGCCAGGUACGAGGUUGCAAGGGGCUGCCGCCUGUCUGUGUGGCGCGCUUCCGAGCGCCUGCUUUGUUAACCACACGCGCCAUAAGUCUUCCCCCACUACCGGUGCCAGACAGCAUAGCUGUAUCGCGUGUGAAGCACCCGCAGCCAGCAACAGCGUCAGCCGAGCCAAAACCUCAACAGGUUAUGAGCCCCGCGCCGCGAUAACCCGCGCGCGGUCGGCCGCUUAGCUAGCAAGGUAGUAUGGGGGACUAUAGUGGAGUAAUGUUGUUAGAGGACGCGUCAAACUACUUUGCGUGGCGUCGCAGCCUGCUGGACCACCUGAACUCCCGGCGUGUGCCUCUCGGAGAAUAUCUCUUCGCCUACGCUCCGACGACGCCUCGCACGGCGCGCGAGCUGGCUGAUGAGAGUGCUGCAGCCGUCAGUUUGCUGCGCAUGUCCUGCAGUGAGGGCGUUGCGCAGCAACUCGCACUCGCUGAGCACGCCUACGAGGCGCACGCCUACGUCAUCCAGCUGUUCCGCCAGUCAGCGCCGCUGAAACUGGCGCAGUUCGAGUCAGAGCGCGAUGAGUUCUGCCUGCGAGAGGGCGAGACCAUUGCCUCUUACUUCCGUCGCGCCAGUGACCUGCGGGACCGCAUCGGCGCGGUCGGCGGCUCGUGGACCGACCAGCAGGUGCGGCUCAAACUGCUGGCCGGUCUGCCCAAGCCGCGCUGGGAGAACAUCUGCGACAUCUGCUACGCCUCUCCAGGCCAGACCCUGCAGCAGCUUUGCGGUUAUUUAAUGGAGCAGGAGUUCAUUAAGAACCAGGAGCAGGCGCGCAGCGGGCACGUCGGCGCCGUCAACCGCAGCGGCGGCCGCGCCGGUGCCGCCGGCAGUGCCGGCGGCGGCCCAGGCGGCGGCGCCGCUAGCAACAGCGCCAUUAUCUGCCACUACUGCGAGCAGCCUGGCCACAUUCGGUCCCACUGCCGCGUGCGCCUGGCCGAUAUUGCGGCCGGCAUCUUCCGCGCUGACAUCCGCUCGCCGCCCCAGCUGAAGCAGUCCGGCGGCGGCGGUGGUGGCGGCGGUGGAGGCGGCAGUGGUGGCGGUGGUGGCGGCGGUGCCGGCGGCCCCAAAGGUGGCGACAGCGGAGGAGGUAAGAAGCGCGGUGGGCGGAGCGGCGGGAGCAGGGGUGCCUUGGGUGGCGCCGGCACUGCCGUCUCCAAGACUGCGCACGUGCUGGUUGUGCGGAGUGUUGAGGACUGGGCCGUGCCUGACGCCGGCAGCAGUCUAAUCGUCCGCACCUAUGGCGCCGAGUCGGCUGGCUCGGGCGUCAGCAGUGGCUACGGCACGGCCGACGGCGGCAUGCCCAGCUCCGGUGUGGUGGAGGGCCACGCCGGUGGCAGUAGCACCAGCACUUACUGCUACAGCGCGGCCGUCAGCGGCUCUCGCAGCAGUAGCCCCAUCGGCAGCGCCCCGCCUCCCCUGGGCGGUGGCUGCAGCCUGAUCAACAUGGUCCGCGCGGCGUUCCGGCGCCUUCGCAGCGGACCCAACAGCAGCAGCGCAGGAGCAGGAGUCUCCAGCAGCAGCAGCGGCAGUGCCGGGCUUGCGAGUUCCGGCGGCCGCUCGAGUGUCGUCUGCAAUAGCGGAGACACCGUGCUGUAUCCCUCCAGCAGCAGCAGCGUCGGGGUGGUGGCGAACGGCAGCGUCAGCGGCAGCCCCAGUAGCGCCGCCGCCGCCAGUGGUGUGCCGGUGGUGGAUUCCGGCACCUUUGCCCAUAUCACGCCGCUGCGUCAGCUGCUUCACAACUUCACGCCCCGCUCGAGGGUGAGGCAAGUGCUGUGGGGGGAUGGCCACAGCAGCCCGGUCGGGGGAUCGGGCACUCUCCGGAUGCUCUCUGGGCGGCAGCGUGUUGAUGUGACGGGUGUGCUGUAUGUGCCAGCCGCCCAGCUCUCCCUGCUAUCUGUGCGCCGGCUGAUGGCCAGCGGCGUGAAGGUAGUGUUCGAGGGGGAGACAGUGACCUUAGCGCAGGGUGGCCGCAACCUCCUCAGCGGCCGCCUGCGCGAUGGUCUGUUCCCACUGUCUGUUACCAUGCUGCCCGUCGCGCUGGCAGCGCCCGCCGUGGCGCCGCCGGCUGCCGGCGGCGGCCCCGCCGCGCCUCCGGGCGGCGGCGGUGGUGCCGCCGCCAACGGCAGUAACACCGGUGUACACCCCAAUCCCGCCGCCGCGCUUUCGGGCCGCGGCGGCACCACCAGCAGCAGCAGCCUCAACGGCUCCGGCACUAUGAGCAGUAGCAGCAGCAUUGGUGCGGCCGCGCCUUCGGGCGGCGGCGGCGCCAGCAGCAGCACCAGCUCGCCGGCGGCUUCUCUGGGCGCUGCGCUCCGUCUGCACCGCCGGUUCGGCCAUCUCAGCUGGACUGCGCUGAUGCAGAUGGUGGGUGGGUCCCUUGUCACCGGCCUGGAUGUUGACCUGUGCGCAUUUAGCCAGGCAGCCGGGUCGGUGUGCAGCACCUGCAUUGAGGCCAAGGCGGCCUCUCUGCCCUUCCCGAACAGCAGCAACGAGCCGCCACAGCCUCUGGCUCUGGCGCACUCUGACGUGUGCGGCCCUAUGCCCACCCUGGGCCGUGGUGGCGCACGCUACUUCAUCACGCUGCUUGACGCCGCCACCGGCCUAUCAGCUGUUCGGUUGCUGCCCACCAGGGACCACGCUGGUGCAGCGCUGCAGGAGAUGAUUGCGCAGUUCGAGAGUCACUGCCGCGAUGGCGGCAAGCUGCGCAUCCUCCGCAGCGACAACGGCGGCGAGUACCACGCUGAGCAGCUGGAGCAGUGGCUGCGUGAACGCAGCACCGCGCACCAGUUCAGCGCACCGUACACGCCGCAGCAGAACGGUGCGGCCGAGCGGCUCAACCGCACCCUGAUGGAGCGCACCCGCGCCCUGCUGUUUGAGGCUGUGCUCCCCCCCAGCUUCUGGCCUGAAGCUGUGGUGCACGCCUGCCAUGUGCGCAACUUAAGUCCCUCCACCAGCUGCAGCAGCACGCCGUGGGAGGCCUUCACCGGCAACAAGCCUAACGUUGCCGACCUGCGCAUCUUCGGCUGCCGCGUCUAUGUCACCAAACCCGCCGACAGCCGCUCCAAGCUCAGCCCGCAUGCCGACAUCGGCACGUACCUGGGCCUGCAGCGCAGCUCCGCCGCAUCUCGCGUGCUGGUCGGCGGCAAAGUGGUGGUGAGCCGGGACAUAGAGUUCGAUGAGGAUGUACGGGGUCCGGCGUCGCGGCUGGCGGGCACACCGUUCGGGGUAACGGCGGAUGCGAGUGGUGGUGGUGGUGGCAGUAGCAGUGCUGCAACGCCCUCGGCCGGCGCUGGCACGGCGCCUCCCCAGGCGCCGGCGGCGCCGGCCAACGGCACACCUCCCCCCACUACGCUGCCGGCGCCUCCCCAGGCGCCGGCAGCCGGGCCCUCACGGCCCGCCACCCGCAGUCAACGCCCCUCACUAACGCCGGCCCUCGGCGCCGUCAGUGAGCCUCCGCUGUCGGCUGCCGCAUCCGCGGCGGCGGGCGGCGGGGGUGGCAGCAGUAGCAGCGCCGCCUCGGCUGCAGCAGCGGCCGCUCAGCUGUUUGAUAGCGACAGCGACGACGAGACGCCGGCGCUGGCGCCAGCCUCAGAUGAUGAGGACAGCUACAGCAGCAGCGCUGCGAUGACUGCGGCUGCGGACACCGGCGACCCCCGCAGCUAUUCGGAGGCCAUUAACGGACCACAAGCUGCGGAGUGGCGCGCCGCUAUGGAGGAGGAGAUGAAGGCUCAACGCGCACACGGCACCUGGCAGCUAGCGGAGCCGCCCCCAGGCGCGCGUCUGCUGGCCAAUCGCUGGGUCUUCAAGACCAAGACGCAGCCUGAUGGCACCCGGCGCUUCAAGGCGCGCCUGGUGGUCAAGGGCUUUGCGCAGCGGAAGGGCCUUGACUUUGACGAGGUGUUCGCCCCCACCAGCCGCUACGCCGCGCUGCGGGCCCUUCUCGCCAUAGCUGUCCGGCGUCACCUGCUGCUGCACCAGAUGGACUUCAAAACAGCCUUCCUCAACGGCGACCUCGAUGAGGUUCUGUGGAUGCAGCAGCCGCAGGGGUUUGAGACCAGUGACAGCGGCAGCGACGGCAGCGGCGGCGGCGGUGAAGGUGCCAGCGGCGGCAGCGGCGCAGACAGCGGCGGCGCAGGCCGCCUCAGUCAGCGGCCGCUGGCGUGCCGCCUGCUGAAGUCCGUGUACGGGCUGAAGCAGGCGCCGCGCUGCUGGUACCGCAAGCUCAGCGAGAAGCUGGGUGAGCUGGGCUUUACGCCGGCCACGGCGGACCCGGCGCUCUUCGUGCGGCAGGACGAGGCGGGUCUGGUCUACGUGCUGGUGCACGUGGACGACCUGUUAGUUGCUGCCGGCUGCCCCGUGCAGCUGGCGGCCGUCAAGUCCGCCAUCGGCGCCUGCUUCGAGGUGCGGGACCUGGGAGAGGCCAGCACCUAUCUGGGGAUGCAGAUCAACUGGGAUCCCAGCACUGGUGAGAUUCUGCUGUUGCAGCGCCGGUAUAUCGCGGAGCUGCUGCAGCGGCAUCACAUGAUGGACGCCAAGCCGCGCAGCCUGCCCCUGCCGCCCGGCACGCGAGUGCUGGCGGCCAGUGAGCAGCAGCCAGCGCUGACUGACGGCAGCGAGUACCGCUCGCUGGUAGGCGCCCUCAACUACCUCGCCACCUGCACCCGGCCUGACAUUGCCUACGCGCUGAGCCUACUCGCACGGCAUAUGGCAGCGCCGACCAAGGUGCACUUCACGCUGGCGGUAGGCGUGCUGCGCUACCUGAAACACACCGCCGCCAUGGGCCUGCGCUUUCGGGCGGCGGCCGGCGGCGGCGGUGGCGGACAUGGUGGUGGCGGAGGCGGUGGCGGCGGUGCUGGCGGCGGCGGCGGUGACGGCUCCUUUCUCGGCUACUGCGAUGCCGACUGGGCCGGAGAUCCGCUGACUCGCCGCUCGCAGACCGCCCUUCUCUUCAGCCUGUACGGGACGGCGGUGACCUGGUGCAGCCAGCGGCAGCACACCGUCGCCGCCUCCUCCGUGGAGGCUGAGUACCAGGCUGCGGCCGCAGCGACCAAAGAGGCGCUGUGGCUGCGCAAGUUGGCGGCUGACCUGGGCCUGAACGGCGGCGCCGUCACCAUCCGCUCCGACAGCCAGGGCGCUAUCAGCCUGGCGCGCAACCCCAUCUCCUCGUCGCCGCUGUCGAAGCAUAUCGACAUUCAGCACCAUCUGGUGCGCGAGCGCGUGGCGCGCGGCGAGGUGGCGGUGGAGUACUGCCCAACUGAGGAGAUGGUGGCGGACGCGCUGACGAAGGCCCUGCCGGAGGCCAAGUUCGCUUUCUGCCGCGCGGCGAUGGGCGUCAGCACCUAAUUAAAGGGUUCUGUCGAGGACAGAAGUUGCCGGGGCAACUUGUUAGCGAAGGGUACUGCAUUCUAGGCCCGGGACCUUAUUGGGUUCUGCCAGUGAGCAGCUAGAGACGUGCCGAGUGCAGACCUGAGAGAGAGACACCAACACGGUGCUCUGUUUGAGGGGGAGCAAACUGCUCCCGUACCCUGACUUGCCUGCUCCUGUCCUGAGUUAUCAGUUGGCUGCCAGACGGCGGUUUGCUGCAAGACCUGGUUUGGUCUGAGGGGGAGUGUUGGUGAGUUGGGGGCUCGCGGUGCUAGUGGCCCGCGAGGGGAGGCAGCCCAACCCUAGGGUGCAGCCGUGUGGCGGUUUGCCGGAUGAGUCAGACUGCCAGGUACGAGGUUGCAAGGGGCUGCCGCCUGUCUGUGUGGCGCGCUUCCGAGCGCCUGCUUUGUUAACCACACGCGCCAUAAGUCUUCCCCCACUACCGGUGCCAGACAGCAUAGCUGUAUCGCGUGUGAAGCACCCGCAGCCAGCAACAGCGUCAGCCGAGCCAAAACCUCAACACGCCGCAUCGCUGACCGCCUUGCUGGUGGCGGCGGCAGCAGCAGUGGUGGUUCUGACGGCGGGUCCCAGCUGGCACUGCUGCUUCUGUUCCUGAUGGCCACGGGCCGCCUGCGCAGCGAGCUGGAGCUGGAUGCCGUGCGGCUGCGGGUGCCCCCGUUCGUCGGCCCGCCGCAGCUCACGCUUGGGGCAAUCAAGAACGAUCUGGCGGGUGCGUCAGGACCUAUUGCGUGCGACAGUUUGGUUUUGGGGGCGCAGUAGACGUAUUUGUUCGCGAAGCUGUCAAGCCUCCGCCGGGGUGUGGGGGAGCAGGGUGGGCUGCCCGGGAGGGUGGAGGGCGCAGCAGAGGUUUUGCUUGAGGCGGGCUGGCUAGAUAUUUGCUGGUUGUGCAGGCUCCUUGAAGUAGCCCGGCCCAACCAGCAGCAGCCGCUGCUGCUAGGUGAAUAGAAUAGUGGUUUAUGGGAGCGUCUGUGUUCGCCGCUGGCGCCUGUUGGCCAGGAGCUAGAGGCAGCAUGCACUCAAGGUCGGCGAUUUGAGCGAGCUGCGGCUGCGGGUCCCGUAGGUCCGAGCCAUGCGUUCGGCUCUCCCCACUCCGCCGUACUGCGUGCAUGAUGCACGUGCCAUGACGCCCGCUCAGUUCCUCUCCUGCAAUGCUGCUACCAUGUACUGCCCGACCCCGCCUGCAUCGAAACCCACACCUCGGCCGACUCUCGCCUCCGCCCCUGCCACAGGAAUCAACAAGGCACGGGAGCAGCUGACAACGUCUGUGGCUGUGCUGGAGCUGGCGUGCCGGUUCCGGCCCACCCAGCUCGCCGGCCUGCAGGGCAUGUUCACGCCGCAUUGCCGCUGGCGGCCGCCUAGCCUGGCGGCACAGGCGUUCAUGGUCGGUAUCCUGGAUGGCGAGGCGCUGGAGGCUCGGCCCGACCUGCUUACGGACCUGCACGUGCCGCUGGUCAGCAUGGACCUGCAGACGCCGGCGUGGCGCGAGGGCGCGCCCACGAUAGGGUUGCCGCUGGCUGUGUACCGGUUCGGCGAUGAGGGCAGCUGCGUGGCGGCACCCGAGGGCGAGUGAGGGAACGCGUAACGACAGACAGCUGGUGCUGUGCGGUGCUGUGCGCCUCUGUUGCAUGUGAGCGGCGAGCUUGGUCUUUGCUGGUGGUGACGCGCAGCGGAAGCUUCGGUGCACUGAUGCAGUAGCGCCUUGGCGGCGGGUCGUGCGGUUUGGAUGUGCGGGCGGCGGCAAGCUGGGUGCGGGGUGGGGGUGGGUAUGUGCAGAGGGCAGGAAGGAAGCGUGCGAAUGACAACUCUAGGCAUUCACAGACCUCGGUUGCAGAAUGGGCACAUGCAUGGCACGCAGCUCACGGUUAUACGACGAACAUGCAGGGUUCCGCGCAACGCGGCAAGGGUGAAUACUUUCACACGCACAGGACUGUGCAAACCCGAUUCCCACGAGCUUCCUCCUGCCCUCCCCUGCUCGCCACAUUUGCCGACCGCGCCCCGCGCUCCUUGCCCCCGCGCUGAACCCUCCAGCCGCUCCGCCGCUGCCCCCCCCCCUCACACACACACGUACAUAUAUCACAUUCCCCAGCAGCGCAGGCCGAACAGCUGCGGUUUGCAUGCGUGGUGCGUGGCGCUGUUGCUGCUGCUGCUGGCGUAUGAGAUAGAGCCGCAGGCAGCUGUGGGGUAGGUGGGGUUGUAGCCAUUGGGGGCGAACAGCAACACACGGUCACAUCAGCAAACUUCCAGCCAGCCAGCAACUUGUCGGUACAGUAACUCCGGCGUUCGACCAGCCAUGCACUUCUGCUCUGCCGCUGCAAAUUGUUUGCCGUCUGCUUGGGGUAUGGGCGUCAGCUGCACCCUACGGGACCUCGCCAACCUGCCUAAACCCUGUCCCUUCGCACACACACGGUCACAUUGUACAAUCUGCGGCCUUUUCAGGUUCUCCUGGUCUCGGAGUUAGCGGGGCCCUCGGCCCCCCCCCCGGGAAGUUGUCGUUGCUGAGCAGCUGAGGCAAUAUGCUCCUGGCAGCAGGCGCAGCCGUACGGGCGGGCCCCAUAGCAGCCUAGCAGGUCUCGUGCCGCGGCAUACACAUCACACGGAUGAUGCAUGCACUGCUGGGGCAGCUAGCGUCGUGCCCCAUAUUGCCCCACUGUCAGACGGCGCGACUCGCACCUCCUGCUGACCCCGCGACUAGCAACCCCGCCCUAGCUAGCAAUGGUCCCCCUGUGCCCUUGCGACCUUGCGUGCCAUCCAACCCCGGCCUACCCAGGGAAACCCUGCAUUUGCUUGCACCCUAGCCAUACAUCCGCGCGUCCCACACCCCACCGGAUGAUCAGAAACAGGGCUCCAGGGGGGAACCCGGGAGAUGCCUGUAUCCGUACAUGGCCCAACACGCUCCAUCUCCAGCUUGCUUGCCCCGCGGACGUCGCCGGACCCGACCCCCGCUCUCGGGAGCGCCCACACAUACGUCACAGUAUGCUCCUCGUCCGAAUGCACGAGCGCGCAAUCCAAGCAGCACAGUAAUACACAUGAUGCAAAGUGCUGUGCAGUGCAACGCACCCUUCAGCUUACCCCGCACGCGACAGCACCCAGCGUGCAGUUCCCUGCUGCCACCACGCCCGCCGCCGCAGCCGCCGCCCCCGUCCCGCCGUCCCCAAGCAUCCCUCCUAUCGCCGCCGCCGCCGCCGCCCCCACGCCCGCCGCCACCGUGCCCGCCACGCCCGCGCCCGCCGCGGCAGCCGCCGCCGCCGCCUCUCCAACCGCCGCCGCCGCGCCGCCAACCGCCGCCGCCGCCUGCCGUAGCGCCAGCAGCGCGGGCCGUAUCCCCACGACGUAGUCAUGGUAAUACAGCAGUACGCACACGGGCUGGCCCACCACACAGAACGCGAUCCAGAAGAUGUAGUUGCCUGCGUGCCCGUGCAUGCACCACAAUCGUGAAGACGCAGCAGGCAUAUGUGCGUGUGUGUGUGGAGCGCGACGGCGGUCGGUGCGGACCGCGCAGUGGUCCGCAGUGUGGCGUCCGGCGGACUGGGUGGCAGCUGCUGUGUGUGUGCUGCAAUGAGCUACCCCCGCGGCCCCCCUUCCCCGACCCGGCCCAUGCACCCGCCCGCCCCCUCCCCGCUCGCCCCAAUCGCUCACCCAGCUCGUCUCUGUUGAGCUUCUUGCGCAGCAUCUCCGUCACCAUGAUCAGCGGCACCUGCGGGUGGUGCGUGGUGGGGGGCACGUGGGUGGGCGGGUGGGUGGAUGGGUGGAUGGGUGGGUGGGUGGGUGGGUGGAUAGGUAGGAGCAGGACGCAAGCGAGCGGUGCGGCUGUGCUCAUGCACCCGCCGGCAACACACGCACACAUCCGCCUCGUGCUCCCCAUUCCACCCAUUCACCACCCACCCACCCUCACUCACACGCGCCCACCGACACCCUCCUGCGCCCCUGCCCCGCACCACAUAUGCCCCACACCGCAACCUCCCUCCUCCCCUGCCCCCUGCCCCGCUGCCCGAUACCCCCCUGGGUUGGCAAAGGUUCAUUUUGGGAUUGGAUUGAUCCCUUGAACUCCCCGCUUCCACCUCCCACCCCCGGUCUUACCUGGAACAUGAUGCCUGCAAAGGCCCACAGCCGCACCAUGUGCAGCGGCACCCCCAGUAGCAGCUCGUGGAACACAGCCGACACGAAGAACGUGAGCAGGAUGGCAUUGAACCUGGGCAAGGAUGAUGAUGAUGAUGAUGAUGAGGGGUGGGGUGGGGUUUCAUUCAUGAUUAUUCAAGAAGGGAAGGGGUGGGAAGGGAAGGGGUGGAUGGGGGGGGAUACCAGCGCAAACUAAACCGGACCGAUGCAAAAGCGCGAGGAGGAGAGCGUGGCCUAUGCUCUGACAACGAAGUGGCAGUGGGGGAGGGGUUUGGGGCGGGGGUGGGGUGGGUGGUGGUGGUGAUUGCACCAUUCCCGACAAGAAGCCAGAGGCACGAGGGGGCGGGGGGGGGGGUGCGUGUGCGUGCCGGUGGUCGGGUUGGCAUGCUCGGAUGGGCGGCAGCAGUCACCUACGGCACACAGCGGGUCCCUCACUCCUUCUCCCACCACGCGCACCGCCCCUCUCCCGUCCGGCCCUCUCCUUGCUGGUCACCCCAAGGCACAGGGCUGAUACCUACACCCCCCUAUCGCUUGCAACUAACGCCUCUGCCUGUGCUCCGCUCGUCUUAGCUUGGUAUGGGUUAGUUUGGGCCGGUAUUCACAACCCCCCCCGCCCCCCCCCCCCAAACACACACACAGUGCAAUCACCACCCAUGAUUAGUACAAACCGUUCGCAUGAACGGCUCCCCCCGCCACCCGCCCCCACCCGCCCCCACCCCACCCUGCCCACCUGCUGCUGCCCGCCCGUAUGGCUGGGAAGUAGACGUGUCGCAGCAGCCACUUGUGCACGGGCAUGUUCCAAAGCUUCCAGUACUCGCCCACCGUAGCCGCAUUCCACCAGUCCUGAGGCGGCGAGGCGGGUGAGGUGUGUGUGAUAGCAGCAAGUGUGUGUGUGUGUGAUGUGAUGUGUGUGUGUGUGUGUGUGUGUGUGUGUGUGGGGUGGGUGGGGGGUGGGAGGGUUGAUGUUGGUGCACAAAACGUGCCUGUACUUGCGUAUUGCGCCCCUUAUGUCCAUCUGUAAUCCCGUCAUCAAGGUGUGCCACCCCCUCCCCUCCCCUCCCCCUCGCUGUUCUCCGUGCGCUGCGUCUUACAGCGCCUCAUGCUUGGUACCGGCAUCGCCGAAACCAGCGCCAUACCUUGCUGUCGAUAAUAAGGUACAAGCAACCUCCCUCUCUGUCCCUUCCCUUCCCCUUCCCUCCCUCCAUCCCCCGUCCCUCCUCCACCUUCCAUACCACCUCCCUCCCUCCCCCUUCCCUCCUCCCCCUUCCCUACCACCUCCUCCUCCCCCUUCCCUCCCCCUUCCCUUCCCUCCCUCCCCCUUCCGCGCACCUUGUAGAACUCGCGGUCGCCGAAGCGCGUCAGCUCUGCUAGCACGUUGAGCCAGAGGUGGAAGAGGCAGUAGAAGCCCAGCAGCCAGGCGUAGGUGGACGGCAGGGCCAGCUUCAGCACCCGCUCGGCCACUCGCGGCAGGUCCAGCUGGGGUGGCGGGCGGGGUGGUGGGUGGGAUGUGUGUGUGUGGGGGGCAUUCAUUCGUGAUUAUUUGAAAAGUGAAGGCGUAGCCAGGAACAGUAGGAUAGCAGGCGCGUUGUUGGGGUGGGUGGGUGGGCGUAUGGGUCGAGGUGGGAGCAAUUCAGCGCGACCUUCACUCGACACGCUCUCACAUCCCCCUCCUCGUUUCCCGCCCCAUCCGGCCCCUCCUCCAGACCUACUCGCCUUGUGUCGCGGGCAUUGCAGCCCCUCUUGCCUCCCCUGCCCCCAAGCCCUCUACCUCCCAGCCCUCCCCCGCCCCCGCCCUCCCCGCUCUCCCCCGCCCCCAGCCUCCCAGCCCUCCCCCGCCCCGAGCCCUCCCCGCUCUCCCCAGUCCCAGCCAACCCCAGCUCUCCCCCCCUCCACNNNNNNNNNNNNNNNNNNNNNNNNNNNNNNNNNNNNNNNNNNNNNNNNNNNNNNNNNNNNNNNNNNNNNNNNNNNNNNNNNNNNNNNNNNNNNNNNNNNNCCUCACCCCCUCUCACCCCCCCUCACCCCCUCUCACCCCCUCUCACCCCCUCUCACCCCCCCUCACCCCCCCUCACCCCCUCUCACCCCCUCUCACCCCCUCUCACCCCCUCUCACCCCCUCUCACCCCCUCUCACCCCCCCUCACCCCCCCUCACCCCCGCUCACCCCCUCUCACCCCCUCUCACCCCCUCUCACCCCCUCUCACCCCCUCUCACCCCCUCUCACCCCCUCUCAUCCCCUCUCACCCCCCCUCACCCCCUCUCACCCCCCCUCACCCCCUCUCACCCCCUCUCACCCCCCCUCACCCCCUCUCACCCCCUCUCACCCCCUCUCACCCCCUCUCACCCCCUCUCACCCCCUCUCACCCCCUCUCACCCCCUCUCAUCCCCUCUCACCCCCUCUCACCCCCUCUCAUCCCCUCUCACCCCCCUCUCACCCCCUCUCAUCCCCUCUCACCCCCUCUCACCAGCAGGGAGCCGCCGGAGUCAAACACACUGAAGGCCCAGAAGCGGCCCGCACGCAGCCCCUCCCACGCCACGAAACAGCUCUGUCGUACGAGGGCGGAGGGAGUGCAGGGCGGGGGGUGUUGUGAGGGGGGGGUGUUGCGGUGGUUGGGCGGCAUGCGGCAAUGCCGGCGUAGGCCGAGGGCUGGAGCGCAUUAAGUAGCAAGCCGAAACCCGCCAGCAGUGCCACCACCACACGCGCACGGAGACGCCCCGGUGUGCGUGUCGAGCCUCUCCUGUGUGCUCCCCAAACACACACGCCCCCACCCCCGCCCCACCCUCUCAACCCCUCACCCCCACCCCUCACCCCCUCACCCACCAGCACGCUGAUCUCGUCCCGCGGCGAGAAGGCCGUGUCCUUGGCGCUGCCGUACGCCGCCAGCCCCGUGCCGCGCAGCAGCACAUACCGCAGCCCCCACUCCGCCGCCGGGCCCCCCAGCCCCAGCGCCCCCAGCAGCGGCAGCCCCCCCGCGCUCCAUUUGUACAGGUACUCGCCGAGCCGGAUGGAGCGGGCGGCCAGCUGUGAAGGCGGGGGAGAGGUUUGGGAAGUUGGGGUGAGGGGGUGAGGGGGUGAGGGGGUGAUGGGAGCGAAAUAAGAAAAAGGCAGGCGGAUGGAUGGAGCGGGCGGCCAGCUGUUGAUUUUGGGGGGAGGGAGGGGGUGGAGGGGGGACAGGCCGCUGGAGCGGGCGAACAGCUAUUUGGGGGGGAGGGGGAGGGGAGAGGGGGUGAUGGGAGGGAGGAAAGGGGGGAGGAGGGGGUGGGGGUGGGGAGGGGCAGAUCGGGAAUGGAGGGGUGGGGGCGCGGUAGGCUUGCGGAAUGGCGUGGGUGGUAAGCAAUCGAGUCAGCAAGGGAGGAGGGUUGGGUUGGGGUGUGGGGUGGUGCGUGUGAGUGGUGCUGGGCGAUUUGCAACAUGCGUGCAGGUCAGGGGUGGGGGGCCCGCUGGGGGGCUUGGCGUCCAGGAGGGCGGAAGGCGAGGAGUCGCGUGCACGCCACGGCGUCAAAGUCAGCCGGCCUGACCCCGCCAUACAAGGCAAGCUGGGGUCGCUAGCGCAUUGUCAUGACGAAACCCAGGAGAGUACGGUGGGAGUUGUGGGAAAGGGGCCUAAAACCCGUGUUGCUCGUCGCGGGACAGCUGGGAGCACACGUCGGGGUGUUGCACCACACGUUCUCGGUGCGGCACAAGCGUUCCUGGCAGUGUGCGCACGUCGUUUGAUGCCCUCGUACACCACACACGUCUCAUCAUGCACCCGUUUGCGCGCAGAGGCAAAGCCGGAGCUGGGCCAAACAAUCUUGCCUCGGGUGGGCGUUAUGACUAUGUCAAAAUCCAAGCAACAGCAUCAGCACCAGCCCGCAUAAACUGUAUUUCCAUCUUAAGCUGUCAUUUAGCAUAUUUGGAAGCUCGCUGGCCCGUUUCCCGGCACAAACAUCUGCAAUCGAGAGUGUGCUCCUCACCUGCUCCUUGAGCUGCUCAUUUGCCACACGCAAAGUCUCGACUUCCUUCUGCAGCCGAAUGAGCUCCUGUUUGUCCGCGGCUGGCUCCUGAGGGCUCGUCCGAGUGCCCGCACGAGCCCUCCGCCCCCCAAAGAAGGGGAGCGGGAUAUUCACCAUAAGCUGAAAGCUUAGCAAAUAAUGUGUUGAAUUGAGAGAAUGCGCAGUUUGGGAACAGGGUUUCCUCGGUCCCGGGACAGACACAGACCGGCGCGCACUCCAAGAUACAGACCGGCAGAUUGCUUAAUAACUAUGUGUCCGUGUACUGUAGAUUAUAGGAAAUAUGCGGGUGGUGGUGGGGCUCGGGAUUGAAACAGGGGGGCCCGCGGGGAUGAACAGCCGAGAUUGCCGGAAGGGCCCACCACGGCUAAGACACGGCAGCCCAAUGCCAGCUUCGAGGAACGCGACACGUCCGCCGCGCCCACUGUCACCUUGAACUAUGGUAGUUUCCAACGAAUCAGCGAAACGCUGUGAGCUCCAGGUGCCCUGUUGGCGUUGGCGCUGCUCUCUGUCUCUGGGCAUCGGCACACGGUGUCACGCACGGUGUGAUCCUGCACUCACUCAACCCGGGGUGCCUCGGCCCCACCCCUAAAGCUAAGACGACAGUUCAGGCGACAAGAAGGGAGCUGAAGCUCGUUGCCUUUAGGUGUGCUCCCACCCAGCCUAAACUGCUGCCGUGACACAGCACGUCAUCUUGGGGCCAAAACCCUGCUUCAUCCGGGUGCCUCGAGGCGACGACGGCAUAUAGAUACUUUGCUAUUCUGCACGCCAUAAUAGCUCACUAAGUAUACACUCGAUAGAGGCCCCUUUCCAUAGACGAGCUGUCGACGAGAGCUGACACAUUUGCAACAACUUGUCAUACAAGUCCGCGGCACGUUGUUUAGAAGCGCGUACUGAUGCAGCGACGUGCAGUCACGGCGAUGGGCACUCGCUCAGUGCCCCCACCGCCUCCAGUAGCCUGCACCGUGGAUACCGGCUCUGAAUGGGCGCAAGCAGAAUUGAGCACAUACUUCAAAAGCCAUCCAGAGAAGCUUACACUGUUGCUUGAUCGAAUCUGUGUCCUGUUGCGAAACUGCUCGAAUGGCGACAUGGCCCCUUUUAUUACUGAGAUGGACACAAUGGUGAGUGCGCCGGCGCGGCUAGGGCUGCCCAGUGCCCACCGACGCCCCGUCUCUGCUCGCUGGGCCUUGGGGAAGAGCGCGGAACGGAAACAGUCCGUAAGGUCCCGUACAGCCUCCCAGUCGCCGGUCUGGACCGUUCCCACACACCCCUGCAUCACGAACUCUCAGUAACGCACGCGCACGCACACAUGCCGUAGAUCGAGACUUUGAAUGAGGACAUCGACGAGGAGCGGCGCGGCGUGGCGGGGCGCACCUCCCGCAUGGCCGACUACUCGGACGUCACAAACGACUUCCUACACGUGAGAGCCCCGCUGCCCUGAGUCAGGGUUGGCACCUGCGUGACGCAACCCCCGCUGCCCGGUGCCGUUCUCGAUGGCUGACAGCCGACUCGCGUGGUCGUGCUGAGGCUGCCGGGCUGAAGCACCGCCCUCGCGAGCGGAGAGCGGUGUGAGGUCAGGUGGCCGCCUAUGCGUUGCUGCGGGCGCUUGUGAGGCGGCAGGUCCUGCGCUGCCCACACACUUACCAGUUACCGUGCUUGCACAGUUCGACACCACCGCCCAACCUUGGUCCCGCCCUGCAGUUCUUCCUGGACGGCGUGAUGGACGCAAUGGAGAAGGAGCAGUCAGGGCUCGGGACGGGGGCGGGGGCGGGCGGGCCGGCGCUGCAGCCCAGCCGUCGCGUGAGCGCGCCCAUGGGCGGGAGCCUGCGUGCCAGCUCCGCCGCGCCGGCAUCAGCAGGCGGCGGCAGCGGCCGGUUCGCCUCGGCCCGGCGGUCGCAGCAGUAGAGCACAACCACGCGUUGUGCAUUGCGUGCAGAAAAUAGUAUCGUGGUAGAGAGCCGGUGUCGUGUGAGGGCGAGGCGUCUUUUAUUUGGUAAAGGUUAGCGUGUGUAGGCAGGUCUGCGUGCGUGCUGCCGGAAAUCGUUUGUAUGGCGGAGCGCGCACACAAGCUUUGGUAGGCGAGAAUACUUGCUAAGACUCCCGACGUUCUCCAUUCAUCCUGACACUGUGUUUUUGUGACGCUGGUGCCCGGACCACACAUGAGUAAACUUGGCUUGUUGACUGAUGGGCAUGUGAGCCCAGUCUGUUGCUGUUUCGCUUGCGUUUGCUGGUUUGCUUCAGUGCAUGUGCAUAGGCCCCCAGAUAGGCACGGAUGUUGUGCCCUUCAUCUGCAUCUACGACUCCUGCGGCUUAAUGACGAUUGGGGCCGCAGCACUGCAGCUGUAGGUGGUGAAGGCGCGAGUCCCCCGGGCCGCUCAGGCGCUCAAGAUACUCGAGGCUGUCGGCGUGGGGUUUGGUGGUGAGGCAAGGGGCGGGACGUUAACGCCCCCGAAUGGGUGUAUGUGACGCGAGUUCCGGCAGUUUAAGGAAGGCAGUCAAGGCGCCUAUGGCAUCUGAGGGCGUCAUCGGUAGCAUGACUGGUACACACGGGUCGACAGCGGACCGAGUACUGCAUUGCGGUGGAAUGGUGGAUGCACUGCCUCGCUGGCAGACCUGCAGAUGUUGCGGGAGCGCUGUUUCAAGUGCCGUUUGCCCGGCCACGAACCCAAUCAACCCAUGCAGCAGGGUGCGCUGCGGCGUGUGGGCGUGGCCCCAAGUGGUUGACCAGGGACAACCGCGGGUGCAUGCAGGCAGGGUGACCAGCUCGCCCAUAUAUUUCGUAAUCUGUGAUCAAGUAUGGCAGUAGGCUUGUGAAUUCGUCCAUGCAGUCUGUAGAAGAAUAGACGGUUGGCCCAGUGUGCGGUUCGAUUUGUGGAGGUUCAGGCGAAGGAUUAGCGCGAGGAUUCAGACGAGACAUGGCGUGUGCAGGUCGUCCCUCUGUUAAACGCAUGGUAAUCUGCGGCGGCCGUGUAUCGGUCUGGGCUAGAGUUAGACCACAGCUGUAAGAACAUGUGCGCACGCUCUUGCAGACUUGCAGAGCGGCACGGCUUCCGCCUCUCCACGAAUCUGACGCCCGUCUAAACCCCGCAUUGCUGACUGUCCCCCGCCUAGCCCGGCCUACGCGUUUGUCGCCUCUGCACCUAAGCUGUUAAUGUUGGCAAUCCAGGUAUCGCGUGUAGUGGAAGGGCGAGUCAUAGGAGGCGUUUACUUUCAAACCUUAAGGCGGAGGCGGCACCAAACGGCACCAGGGCCCAGGAAAGGCCUUUUGGAGCGCUGUCUUCCAGCGCCCUCUAGAUCAAAUGAGUACAACUUUGCUAGGGUAUACUGCGAGGUAUAUGAUGACCGGGAACUUUGCUCCUGUGCGUCCUCGAGCGCAGUCCGGUAGCGUGACAUGCUCUGGACAUGCUUGGUAGACACUGGUCCAUUUUUGGGGCGCACGGACCAAGCGCAAUGCCAAUUCACGCCUUCAACUUGUGCCUGCUGCCUAAUCCACCCAGCAAUCCUGCAGCUUGAAGGAAAUGGACGGCCGCUUCAUGCAGGAGGACUGUUCGGAAACUCGAUGAGGCCCUUCCAGGCCUCAGUUUGCAAAUUUGAAUUCAGUACUGUAACUAUUCACUUAUGAUAAAGCAUUUCCAGAACACCGCGCCGAACAACACGAGCACUCAAGGAGCUGCAGAGUUAGUUACAUAUUGAACAUAUGUGAACACAUGCUUAUCAGAGAUAAUUAAUCACAACUAGGAAGCGUACACGCGUUGACCGGAGUGGCAGUGACUUUGCUGCGCUGUGGCGCGCGAAGGCGCGCCAAAUGGAUACUCGGUCAUUUAUGAUACGAUAGCAGUGCACAACAGCUCUUCGAAGGAGCAGCAGGCUCGAGGACUCUGAGAAUGCCCUUCCGGGCCCUCUCCCUGUGCUCCUUCUGGCGUUGCCUGGGCGCUGGUACGUAAACGUGUGGCUAUGAAUAUAAAUUAAGGCUCAGCCAGUGACCCUGUCUGGGACCUUCGCUCGCGCUGCAGAUGCGCGAGUCAGCGUGGACGGCGAACAAAGCCGGACGGCCAAGGCUGGCAAGGCCGUCUGCGCUGCAGACGCUAAUGGCAAAGGGUAGGGUAGGGAUGGAGGCGUACUGCAAGUCACGGCGACCCCAAGGCCAAUAUUGACUGCGCCACAUGGACACACCAUGCUCACCCCUCUGUCCCACAAUCCUCCCCCCCCCCCCCCACACACACACAGCGCCCAUGCUGAGCCUGAUCUGGGUCACGACUCGGCGGCGUCGCACCUGGCCGGCGGGGGCCGCGGCGGCCAGGGCCAGGCCCAUGGCUUGGCGCUGGCCGCGACCCUGCCCCACCAGGAGCGCACGCUGCGGGCCCUGCUGCAGAAGGCCAAGAUGGUGCUGGCGCAGCAGAGCCAGCAGCAGCUGCCGCCACCUCCUCCGCCUGGACAGCUGUCAGCGGGGCAGCACCAGCAGCAGGGGGAGGGCGGCUUCGGCCUGACUCGGCACCUGGGGGACAGCGAGCUGGUCCGCAUCAACACGCAGCUGCAGGAGGCCACAGCGGGCCUGAGGCCGGGUGGGUGGCCCAGGUGGCUGGUCUGGUGUGGUCUGGGAUAAGGAAGGGAGGGGAAAGAGAUCACGGUCGGGUGGCUGUCACAGCGUGUGGCGAAUGCACGGCGCGUGCCGGUCGGGUGCACCGGAGGUGUGGCUGGCACCCGUCACCGGGCGCCUCCCCACCCCGACCCCUGAACCGAAUCCAACCCGCCCUAACACGGCAACCCCCUCCCUCGCCACAGACACCCGCACGCUGCUGCGAGUGGAGCUGCUGCUGUGUGACGCGCGGCGCUGGCUGGCCGGCUGCCCGGGCGGCGCCAGCCCCGCCGCCGCCACGGCGCUGCUUUACGUGGCGGGCGAGGGGCUGGCGCGCGCGGAACACUGCGUGCGCUCCGCCGGCCAGGUCCGCUUCUGGCGGCCAGACGCCGUGGCGGCCUUCACCGCGCUGCUGCAGCUGUACGGCGACGUCAUGACGCAGGCGGGCUGGGCGGCGGCGGCGGCGGCGGCGCAGCGGCAGGCGCAAGGACUGCAGGGGUUGCAGGGGCUGCAGGGGCAGGGGCAGCAGGGGAGAGUGGACUCGGCUCGGGAGCAGCAGGGGUCGGACCCGAGCGCCGGUCGCGCUCCGCAGCCCACCCCGCAGCCCACCCCGCAGCCCACCCCGCAGCCCACCCCGCAGCCUACUCCGCAGCCGCUGCCGCCGCAGCGGCACCCUCUGGUGUUCGCUGCUGCUGCGCUGCUGCUGCGGCCCGACUGGCUGGACCUGCUGAUGGAGGUGCUACAGCUCCUGCACUUCAGCGCCGACUACGCCGCCGCCGCCGCCGCCGCCGGGCGCGGGCUGCAGGAGGGUCUGGCGGCGGCGCUGCAGCUGUGGGGCUUCCUGACGGGGCUGGUGCGCUUCGCGGCGGGGCCGGCGGAGGCGGCGGCGGCGGCGGCGCUGCCGGGCUGCAUGCAGCGGCUGGGCGCGCUGCUGUCGCCGCCGGGGGGCGUGGCGCCUCGGCUGCUGGCGCUGCCGCUGCGUGAGGACACACUGGUGGCGCAGCUGCACGUGCUGUGGCUGCUGCAGGUGGGGGAGCGGGGGUCGUGUGGGGGGGUGGGGCUGUGUGGGAGGGUGGCUGGGCGGGUGGGGAGGGGCUGCGGUAGGGCUGUGUGGGGGGAAGAAGACAGAUGCAUGUGUGCAGGCGGUCAGAGCGGACCGGAUGGCGGUAUGGGUGCUGGUCAAUGCGGGUUUGGGCACGUGGUGUAUUCUGACGGCUGUGUUGCUCACCGCGCCACACACGUGCAGCGCCACUCGCCCACCACCUGCACCUCCGCGCCACCACCACCACCACCACCACCACCACCACCACCACCACCUCCAUCUCCAUCUCCAUCCCUCCCCCCCCCGUGCCUCUAUCCCUCCAUCCCUCCCCCCCAUCCGCGCCUCCCCUGCAGGUGCUGUACGACCUGCCUGACGUGCGGGUGCUGCACGACCCACUGCUGGCGGAGCACUACGUGGGCCUGCACCACAGCGCCAUGACGGCCGCCUACGAGGCAAGUGUGUGUGUGUGUGUGUGUGUGUGUGUGUGUGUGUGUGUGUGUGUGUGUGUGUGUGUGUGUGUGUGUGUGUGUGUGUGUGUGUGUGUGUGUGUGUGUGUGUGUGUGUGUGUGUGUGUGUGUGUGUGGCGGGGGGGGCGGGGUUGGCUGGAGGGGUGGAGGGGUGUCCCGUGCAUACUAGCAUACCAGCAUAUUGCUUGCACCCCCUCUCCGCAUCCACCGCCCUGCCCCGCCACCCACCGCCCCGCCCCGCUCCACCGCCGCCUUCACCAGGCCUCCGCCGCCGACCCCAAGUCCGCCUCCGCGGAGCUGUGCCGCAUCCACGCCACCCUACUGCGCAGCCUGGCGCGGCACCCGGGGCAGCCGGUGCGCGCCGCCUUCCGCCGCUGCCGCACCGUGGAGUGGCUGCUGGAGCAGAUGGGGCUGGAGAGCGCGCUGCUGCCGCAGGCGGCGGCGGAGGAAGAGGAGGACGCGGCGGGCGGAGGCGGAGGCGGAGGCGGUGGGGAUGGGGAUGGGGACGGGGGGUGUUCGGAAUCGGAGCUGGAGAGCAGUGAUGAGGGCGGGGAGGGGGACGGGGAGGGGUUGAGGAGCCCGUUGGGCUCGUCUGGCAGCAGGCCGCGCCGCAGCGGCGCGGAGACAGCGGCGGCCGCGGGCGAAGGCGGCACGGCGCGGGGUGCCGGCGCUGCAGGCGGCGGCGGCGCCGGAGGCGGCGCCGAGGGCGGCGGCAAGGACUUUGCGUUCACGUACGACCUGAAUGAGGACGUGGAGCGGCUGAUUGCGCUGGAGGACGCCCUGGGUAAAGAGGUGGCGCUGGAGGGGUUCGAGUACGACGACGAGGGAAGGCAGCUCAUGGCAGCCAGCGAGGCGCGGCAGGCGGCGGCGGCGGUGGAAGCCGCGGCGGCGGCGGCGGCGGCGGGGACGCCGACGGCGGGCAGCGAGGGCUUGUUCAGCGCGCGGACGGACUUUAGCUCGACUGUGGGUGGCGGCACGACACACCGGGGAGGAGCAGGAGGAGGCGGUGGGGGGGCGGGGAUACCUCGGCUGGUGCUGGCAGGCCUGCGCUGCGCCUCCGUGAGCAGCAUGCACGCCGCCGGCUCGGUGCGGAGCAUGGCUGGCGGCGGCGGCGGCAACUCCAUCUCUGGCGCCGCCGGCGGGAGCUCGACUGCGGGGGGCCGGCGGCUGGGCAGCGGCACGGGGCGUGUCAGCCACGCGGACAGCCACUGGGGCGGCAUCACCUCUACCAUGGGGGGUGAGGAGGACGACGAGGACGAUGAUGAUGACUGGGAUGUGCCGCUGCCCGGCGGCGAGGCCGCCACGCCGACGCUGGACCCGGCGGCGGCGGCGGAGCGCAUCGCGCGCUGGUCAACAACCAUUGCCGAGGUGCCGCUGCCGGCGCCGCUGCCGGCGCCGUCGAGCAGCGACGCGCCGCCGCCGGGGGCGCCCAGCGUGUUGGCGGCGGCGGCGGCAUACUCGGAGGUGGCGGGCGCAGCGGGCGGCGGCGCCGCCAGGAGCCUGCCGGGGUCGGGGCCCACAAUGGGCUCCGUGGCCGGCGGCAUCGGCACCGGCACGCAGCGCUCGGUCCGGUCCGACGGGCCGCGGACGGGCGCCGCAGGAGCUGCGGCGGCGGCAGCAGGCGGCGGCGGGGGCGCGGGCGGUACGGAUCCCGGCGUGGCGCCGCCGCUGCCGGGCCUGCGGCCGCUGGGCAGCCUGCUAGCACUUGGCCCCCAGCAGCACCACCCGGGGCCCGCGGGGGAGCUGCACAUCCUGGCGCCCUCGACCUCCCGACACGCGCUGCUGACCUCCGCCGCCGCCUCGCCGGCGGCGCCCGUGCCCGCCACCAUAGCCGCCGCCGCCGCGGCGGCCGCCGCCGCAGGCGGCGGCGGCGGCGGCGUCAGCGGGCGCGCGCUGCCGCCGCUGUCACGGCCGGUGGUGCCGCCGCUGCGCUUCGCCGCCGCCGGCGACGGGCUGCCGCCGCUGGCGUCGACGUCGUCGCGGCAGCCGCCCGCCAGCAGCUCGCGAGCCAUGAUGCUGCUGUCAGCCUCCAACCGCGCCGUCGCCGUCGGCGGCGCUGGCAGCGGCGGCGGCGGCUGGCCCUCUGGCGGCGGCCCGCCGCCGGCGCCGGCGCCGCCGCCUGCCGACCCCGCCACCCGCCUGUCGCUGCAGUCGCUCACGUCCGUGCGGCUGCACGCUGCCGCCGAAGGCGGCACCGGCGGCGGUGGCGGCGGCGGCGCUGGCGCCCCGGCGCCGCUCAUCCCGGCCCUCAACCUGUCCUCCCUGCGCCGCCGCGACGGCGGCGGCGGCGGGCCCUCCUCCUCCAGCGACACCGGCCGCACCGUGCCGCUGAUCUCCAUGAUCCGAGCCAACCCCGGCNNNNNNNNNNNNNNNNNNNNNNNNNNNNNNNNNNNNNNNNNNNNNNNNNNNNNNNNNNNNNNNNNNNNNNNNNNNNNNNNNNNNNNNNNNNNNNNNNNNNAGGGAGGGGUAGCUGUCCAUUAGUACGGCUAAUAGAGGGCUGUGACGCCAGCACGCGACCGCCCACCCACCCCACCUCCCGUUCCAUGCGCCGAUGCGCGCGGCCGCACCCUGCACACCCGCUAGGACCCUCUCACGUAAUCGGCAGCCGCCCCGCACGUUCCCACCCGUCCCUUUAUGCUGUACCCUUCCUGUCUUGCCCUAUCCAUCCCUUCUCGUCAUUCCAUCUCCUUCUUUACUUCUGUGCUUCUCACCGCCCCUCGCCAAACCAACCCAAUCCUCCGCCCCUCCCCGACCCCGCACCCCCCACACAGGCACGCUGGACACGGCCUACGUGACACAGCACCCGGGCGACGCCGGCCUGCCGCACGCAGAGCACGUGCUGCUGUGGCACCUCAACGCGCCGCGCAACGCCGGAGUAGUGCACGACCUGUGCCGCGGCGCGCAGCGCAGGGCGCGGCAGGCCAUCGCCUCCGCCGCCGCCUCGGCGGCGGCAGUAGCAGCGGCGGCAGUGGCAGUAGCAGCGCCGGCGACGGCAGUAGCAGGGGCAGGGGCGCCGGCGGCGGCAGCGGCUGGCGGCGGCAGUGGGGCCACAUCGUCUCGGGCGUCGUCGGCGCGCUCGGCGGCGGCGGGUGCCGGCGGGGCGGCGCCGCGGCCUGCCUGGGGGUCGUCAGCGCCCUCCGCGGGGCCCUCGCCCAACCCCGGCUCCCCCGCCCAACUGGCGACCUCCACCACCACCGCCACCACCACCACCACCGUUAUCACCGUUGCCCAGGCGGGCGCCACGUCCUCCCGAUCCGCAUCUGCAGCUGCUACUGCCGCAGCUACAGCCAGCGCCGCCGCCGCCGCCGCCGGCUCGCCUCGGCCGCAGCAGCCGCAGCCGCAGCCGCAGUUGUCGGCGGCUGCGAUCGCGGCGGCGGCGGCCACGCGGCCGUGCGGUGUGACGCGUGCGCUGCAGCUGCUGAGCCGCCCGCUGUUUGACGCCGGCCGCUAUACCAACCUGCAGUUCGUAACCCGGGGAGCGUACGGCAACAUCUACAGGGCACGCAUGGAGGUAGCAGUAGCAGCAGCGGCAGCAGCGCCGGCGGCGGCGGCGCCGGCGGCGGCGGCGCCCGGCGAAGCCGGCUUGUCACUGGUCCUGGCGGCAGUAGCAGCGGGUGCGGCGGCGGGUGCGGGUGCUACAGCCAGCCCCGCGGCGGCGGUUGCUACAGCCGGUUCGGGCGCGGUGCAGGUGGUGAUCAAGACGCUGCAGCUGCCGGGCAGUGUGUACGACAGCUGCGUGCUGGGGGACGUGUUCGGCGAGGUGGCGGUCAUGGAGCGGUUCAGAGGUGGGGGGGGGGGGGGUUGUAGAUACCAGCCCAAACUAAACCAAACCCAAUGCAAUAGAGCGAGGAGGAGAGCGUGGUCGAUGCUUGACAACGGAGUGGCACGCGACAAUGGGGUUAGGCGUGGGAUGCCCAGAGGCCAGAGGGAUGGGCGAGGCAUGGCACGCACACCUCGCGAUAUUUGCGACGUGCAUGGCCUGGAACAGCGUGGCGUUGUAGGGAGCGCUGCGUAUGGCCAUGGACUGAAACAGCCAUGCGCCCCACUCCCUCACGCGGCCCUCUGAACUCGUCACAUGCCCAAUCAGUCCCUCCCUCCCAUCGUGCACCUAUCAUCCCCUCCCAUCUCUCUGCCAUCUCACGCCUAUCUUUCAUAUCAUAUAUAAACACACACACACACACACACACACACACACCGUGGGCGGGCUUUCGUUUCGUUUUUUAACACACACACACACACACACACACACACACACACACACACACACACACACACACACACACAGGCCACGAGUGCAUCUGCCAGCUGCUGGACUACGGCAUGCACGACGACGCCUACUGGAUCGUCAUGCGCCGGUACCGCUGCUCCCUGGCCGAGUGGCGCCAGCGCCAGCGCCCCCUCUCACACGCCGCGGCCAUCGCCGCCACCGCAGCCUCCGGCGCCACCUCCGCGCCCGCCGCCAGCGGCUCCGCCGCCGCAGCGGCCGCCACGCCUGACGGCGUGGCGGCGGCCGCCGCCGGCGCCGCGGCGGCGGCGCGUGUGUACCUGUCGGCUCUGCUGCAGGUGGUGGAGGCGCUGGCGCUGCUGGCGUCGCACAACGUGGUGCACUUCGACCUCAAGUGCGCCAAUGUGCUCAUUGAGCCGCUGCCGGGCGUGCGCGACGGCGAGCUAUGGGCCCCGGUGGGAGCCGCGGCAGAAGCUGCUAGUGCUGGUGUUGGAAAUGGUGGUGGGGGGGGUGGCGCGGCGGCGGUGGUGCCGUUCCGCUGCGUGCUGGCGGACUUUGGCGAGGCGCGGUCUUACCGCAGUGCCGCCGAGGCCUUCACGGCUCGCAACCGCGGCACCGAGGUGUUCAAGAGCCCGGAGAUGCUCAUGCUCAACGCGCGCGGGGCAGGCGCCGGAGCGGCGGCAGCAGGAGCAGGAGCAGCAGCAGCAGGAGCAGGAGGGGGAGCAGCAGCAGCAGCAGGAGGGGGAGCAGCAGCAGCAGCAGGAGGGGGCGCGGGAGGGGGCCAGGGCGGCAGGCCGCAGCAGCUGCGGGUGCAGGCGCUGACGUCGCCCACCAAGGAUCCACGGGGCCAGGGCGGGCAGGGGGGCGGGCCCUCGGCGGGCUCCCUGGCACCCGAGCCCUCCGGCCCGCUGUUGUCGUGGCCCGCCGGCGCCGGGCCGCACACGCCUGCCCGCGGCCCCGGCCCGCCGCCGCCCAGCCACGCCAACUCAACAGUCUCCGCCGCGCCGGACGCGCGAUCGCCCUCGCGGCCCACAUCGGCCCCGCGCCGGCCGCAGUCAGCGCAGUCGGCACAGCCGCCGCCGCAGUCGCUGGCCGGCGCCGGCCUUGCAUCCGACAUCUGGUCACUCGGCUGCCUGGCCUUUGAGCUGCUCAGCGGAACCGUGCUUUUCGGCGGCGAUUACGCGUCAGUGACGCAUCGCGUGGCCUUUGGAUCCGGCGAGCGGCUGAGUCUGACGGAGGUGGAGCGGGCGCGCCUGGGCGGUCUGCCAGAGCUGGUGGAUCUGGUGGAAUGGAUCCUGGUCCGGGAUCCGACGCGGCGGCCGUCACUGGCCGCGAUCCGGGAGCGGGUGGAGGCGACGCGGGCGUCGCUGGCGGCGGCGGCGGCGGCGGUUGGCGGCGGCGGCGGCGGCGGCGGCGGUUGUUAGCAGUGCCGGUGGAUGGCGGCGCGGGCCAGUGAGAGGUGGAUAAGCGUUCAUGGGGAGCGCAGUGAUGAAAUCACAGGUAUGACGUGCCGACGUCCAGAACAGACGUGGAACAUCAUGGGAGGGUGUGGGGUUUGGGGGUGCGUUGAGGCUUGCUGGGAGGAAGGCAAGGGGUGGGUGGGUGCAUGCGCACAGCGGGCACUGCGGGAGCUCCGGGAGGAAGCGAAGGCAGGCAGGCAGCCACGGAGUUUUGAGCAUUGCCAACAUCCACUGCCGACAUGCCGCGGCGGUGCCUUGUGACGUGGCGCAGUUUCCAAUGGCGCGUGCGCAAAUGUGUGUGUGUGUGUGUGUGUGUGUGUGUGUGUGUGUGUGUGUGUGUGUGUGCGCAAAUGUGUGUGUGUGUGUGUGUGUGUGUGUGUGUGUGUGUGUGUGUGUGUGUGUGUGUGUGUGUGUGUGUGUGUGUGCGUGUGUGUGUGUGUGUGUGCGUGCGUGCGUGCGUGCGUGUGUGUGUGUGUGCGUGCGUGCGUGCGUGCGUGCGUGUGUGUGUGUGUGUGUGUGUGUGUGUGUGUGUGUGUGUGUGUGUGUGUGUGUGUGUGUGUGUGUCACGUCGCCAUUCGGACUCGCUGCUCUUGGACUCAAGCAUGCGUAACUCUUGCCGGUAGUUGCACGUGGCCGUGCGUGCAUGUGUUGUAUUGAUAUAUAUUGAUAAGCGUAUGUGGGUUGUGGGAUGGUUGCGUAUGCGGUUGUGUGUUACAAAGCACAAGGAAAAACCAUACGCGCUAAUGUGUGUGUGUGUUUGUAUGUGAUCCCAAUGCACCGACAUGUGCCGGUGACGGUAUGCGGCACGCCGCACAUUCAUGGACUCAUGGUGGUGUCGUACGGUAGGGCAGUGGGCGCUCGUGGCGUGCUUGGGAGUUGGGACCUGGCGGCGGCGCCCACGACACCACGACACGACGUGGGUACGGUACCGGGUGGCCGCGCCGCGGCCUGCCGCCGUGACGGUGGCGGGCGCUGGCCUUUCUUAAUGACGCCACACGGCGCGGACACGGAAGAAGUGUGUUUGCGUGUUUGGGAGCGAAGGCGGGUGUCGAAGAAACCAUUACUCCCUCGUGACGAGAGGCUGUAGCAGUGAAUGGCACGCACGCACGUGACAUGCUUCGUGAGGCGUGUGGCGUGGGAUAGCGACGUGGCUCAGCACGCAACUGCUCAUGCGCUGCUACAGCCUCGCUGCACAGCACCUGCAGCUGCAGCUGGCCGGGCGUGUGUGAUGUGACUUGUGGCCCAUGCAUCCAUGAGGGGUGGGGGGGCGUGGCCGUGGCCUUGGCUGCACCGAAUUGUUGACCGUGCCAGCGUGUGUGUUAAAUCAUCAAGCCAAAUAACCAUCAAGGUUAUGCGAUGCGGGGCUGUUACACGGCCCAAGCGCGACGAAUAGGUCACGGUAUUCAUGCGACGGGCAGUCAUCAAUUAGGGCAAUUUGCUCUGCGCUGCAAAUAUAAGCGCAGCAGCUGCUGCCGCACGGCUGCCGCCUGUGUCUCCUCUCGGGUCUGUCGGUGUCCUGUGCGCCGAGUUUUGGUGUUUUGUUGUCGCUUUGGAAGAACCCGACGGGCGCUUGUGCCCAGCACACGGAGUCGCGCCUCUGGCACGCACACGACGGAUGGUGACGGCGGAUUACUUUUAUGCGGCCGGUGGCAUGGCGUCGCGUGUGGAUGCCGUGUGGAUGCCGUGUGGCUCUGUGGAAGUGUGCAACCGGCCGGGAAGGCCCCGUGGACCCAGAGGCGGAGAACAGUUCUGAGGAUGUGAGGAUGGCAAGUGCGGCACGUGUACUGUAUGUAUGGGUGGGUGGCUGUACUAAUAUACGGAGUAAGCCUGUGUGAGUUCGAAUGCAGCAAACUGCAUCCAUUGGCGUGCUUUUAGGCAAGCCAAGUCACAUCGUAGGGCUUGAUGGCGUUGCGGUGGUGGUGAGUUACAGGGGUCAUGGACUUAUGGACUCAUGGUGUGCUGUUACUGGCAAAGAUGCCAAUUGCAGAAUCCGCAGCUCAGUUGCGCGAAGGCACAUCGUGCUGCGAUGUCCCACGCUGUGAUGUCAACAUCCCCGCGCAGACACCCGCGGCAUCUUGACUUUCUCCCAUGGCAUACCGCGCCACCAGCUGCCCCUGUUGCCUCGUCAGCGGCAAGCAUUCUGAUUGCGACAAGCACAUAUGCGAGGGCGCCAGCCUACUCGCAGCCGUCACCCGCCAUCGACACGGUGUACGGCAACCCUAGUGUCUUGACCACGUCAUCGACUGCCUGUCUUCAGUGCAGCUAGCUGUUUACAUUCCAAAACAGCCUGCCUGAACGUGUACUAUUUAAAAGGGCGCAGCAUUCUCUAUCAGCAAACAAAUCGAUUACACGUCCCCCAACUUCUUGGAUUGUUUACGUUCGCUUCGCAUGCGUAAAAUAUCGCCGCCAUAAGAAUGCUUACCCGAGUUGUGGCCGGCCUUAUGCGGGCCGGCCACACCGCGCCAUCGGUGCCUGCACUGCGCGGCCUUAUGUGCGGACGCACCGGAUCGGCACCACGAGCACCGCACAUAUGUAGCAGAGAAUUUUCGACUGCACCCAGCCCAGAGGAGCGGCCACCGUUCGCGGGCCAGCCGAUUAGUUCCACACAUCCCGAGCUGCUCGCGCCGGGGCAGCUGACCCCCGGCGUGACUGCCGCCGAGUACGCGGCCCGCCGGCGGCAGCUGUCAGAGCUGCUACCUCCUGGAUCCAUUGCCGUACUUCCCUCCGCCGCCACCACCUACAUGGCUGGCGUAAUCCCCUGGCCGUACCGCCAGGUGCGGGGGCUGGGGGGCAGGCGAUGGGGUUUGGCAGGGCGCAGGGCAGGCGAGGGGCUUUCGGGCGGUGGCGUGGCGGGAUGGAAAGGAAGGGGAGGGUGAGGGAUGCGAUCCGGGGGUGUGUGGGUGGGCAGUAAGGCAGCCUGCACGACACAGCAUACACGACGACGGCCCCUGGAAGACUUCCUGCGCGCGUCGUGUCGCCUCUCACCCCACCUCGCAACCGGCAGGCCGGUGCAACCAUCCCCUCUCCCUUACCUCCCCUCCCUCUUCCCGCCUCUUCCCACCCGCUGCCCACCCGGCCCCCACCCGCUUUCCACCCACCCUCCCAAACGCUUUCCGCCCGCUCCCCGCCCGCCCUCCCAACCGCCCUCCCUCCCGCCCUCCCGCUCCCCGCCCGCCCUCCCAACCGCCCUCCCUCCCGCCCUCCCGCUCCCGCCCUCCCGCUCCCGCCCUCCCAACCGCGCCCCCUCCCGCCCUCCCCCUCCCGCCCUCGCGCUCCCGCCCUCCCGCCCUCCCUCCCUCCCCCCCUGCCUCAGGACCCGGACUUCUACUACCUCACGGGUCUGCUGCAACACGGCCUGGCGGUCAUCACCGCGGCCCGAACACACGGUGGGCGGGUGGGGUGUGGAACUGUGGAUGGCGUGUGUGGGGUUGGAUGGGAAUUACCAGCCCAACCCAAGCCAAACCAAGCCACACUAGCGGGGUGGGGGUGGGAGCGGAGAAGACGCCGUACGUGGGCUGGGGGUGGGUUUGGUGGGUUUGGUGGGCGCUUCCCGGGCAAAUAACACUCGGGUUUGACCGGUGGGCAGGGGGUGGGCGGUCAUGGACCUCAGGCUGCAUGAGCUCCGGGUAGGUGGGCGGGUAGGGCAGGGCCGGCUUUGGGGUGGGCCACGCAGAAACCUGACUGCGCACACGGGUGCGUCUAUGUGGGUCUGUGACCAUGCUGGAAAACGCAACACAACGCAAAGGGUGCUGAUGCAAGCGUCCCGUGUAUGCGUGUAUUCAUGUACGCCUAUGUGCGCGUGUAUGUGUGUGGGUCAUGCAGGCGCUGAAAUCAGUGGUGGUGGUGGCGGCGGCGGCAAGUUCGUCCUGUUCAUCGACGCGCCCAACGCGCAGCGGGCCAAGUGGGACGGCGCGACCCUGAGCCGGGAGGUGGCGGCGGCCGAGUUCGGGGCGGACGAGGUGGCGUACAUGCACGAGGUAGGGAGAGGAGGAGUGGGGAGGAGGGGGAGUGGGGCGGGGAGGAGGAGUGGGGAAGGAGGAGUGGGGGAGGAGGAGAAAUGGGGAGAAGGCGGGUGGGAGGUGGGGAGAUAGGGAGAUAGGGAGGUGGGGAAGUAGGGAAAUAGGGACGUAGGGAAGUAGGGAAGUUGGGCGGUGGCGAGGUGGGGAGAACGGUUGAAGGUUCAAAGAGGGAGGGAGGAAGGAUGCGGAGGCGGGGAUUGUGGUUGCCACUCGCUGUCAGCAACGCGAAAGAUGGGGAUGCAGAACGGCAGGGGCGGGUCGGCUGGUGCAGGCCGCGAGGUGUGUGUGCGGCAUAUGGGUGCUGCUGUCCCUGAGCUGUGACUUGAACGGGCACAGGGGCAAUAACAGGGUCCAGGCGCUGCCGGGGCUUCACAGGGCACUGAUGGCAAGUUGGCACCCCCCUGACACGCAACCAGCCCCAUCCCGCAACCCUCCCGUCCCCCAGAUGCCACGCCGACUGGCCGCCCUCGCAUCCGCCGCAGCCUCCUCCUCCUCCACUUCCUCCUCCUCCUCCUCCUCCUCCUCCACCACCCCGCUCCUCCUGUUCGACUCGGACCGGGUGGGCGGCCACCACUACUCCACCCUCAUGGCGCUGCUGAAACCCGCGCUGGAGACCCCGGGUCGAAUCGCGCCGCUGCGGCCUUUAUUGCACAACAUGCGCCUGAUCAAGAGCCCCGCCGAGGCCGGCCUCUGCCGCGCCAGUGCCGUACUCGCCUCGGCGGCGCUACGGCACUGCAUGGCCAGUACGGCACCUGGCGUUACGGAGUACGGGCUGGCGGCGGCGUUCGAGUACGGCGUCAAGGCGGGCGGCGCGGCGCGGCUGGCCUACCCCACCGUGUGCGCGGGUGCGUGUGGAUGCGUGUGUGUGCGUGUGUGUGUGUGUGUGUGUGUGUGUGUGUGCGUGUGUGUGUGUGUGUGUCUGUUGUAUGGUGGGGACGGGGGAAUCUGCAUCGGUGCAGGGCGUGUGGGGGAGUGUUGAGUGAGGUUUACAAGGCAAGGGCAGCGCCGUGGGGCGGGUGGGUGGGGUGGGGCGAUCCAGAGCCGCUGAGGCACGCAACGCACACACCCACACACUGCCAACCCACACACUGCCAACCCACACACUGCCACCCCACACACUGCCACCCCACACACUAUCAACUCACCCCACACCCUGUCACCCCACACACUAGUAACCCACUCCACACACUGCCAUCCCCAGGCGGUGCGGACGCGUGCACCAUCCACUACGGCCGCAACGACAAGACGCUGCAGGCCGGGCAGGUGGGUAGGGGGGGUUUGCAGGCCGGGCAGGUGGGUAGGGGGGGUUUGCAGGCCGGGCAGGUGGGGGGGGGGUUUGCAGGCCGGGCAGGUGGGGGGGGGGGGUUUGCAGGCCGGGCAGGUGGGUAGGGGGGGCGUGCUGGGCCAGGUGGGGGGGUGCAGGGGGCAGGGGCGGUGUGGAGCAGGAGGGGAUGCAGGGACAGGGACAGGGAAGGGACAGGUGCGGUGUGGGGUAGGGGUGGUAAGCCUCUGUUACCUACCUCUCCCUCUUGUUACUCACUCCUCCGCCUUCCCCUGAACUCCGCUGCCUGUGUGACCCGCGUAGAUGGUGCUGAUGGACGCGGGUUGUGAGUACGGCGGGUACGUGUCGGACGUGACACGCACCUGGCCGGUGGCGGGCCGGGCGGGGGCGGGGGCGCGCGGCGGGCGUGGCGGCUUCACGGGGCCCCAGCGAGACGUGUACGCCGUGGUCUUGGAGGCGCACCAGAGGUAAGGGAGGGAGGGAGGGAGGGGGGAGAGAAGGAGAUACCGUAGUGAGGUGGGAAGGUAGAGGGAGAUAGUGAGGUGGGAAGAUAGAGGCGCAGGGGUGCCGUGACGGUGGGAGGCGAAGGGCUGGAGGGGAGAUGACGCGGAAAAGGGAGGGGUUUGCAAAGAGGGUUGGACAAGCGGUACAGCAUGCACCCGAAUACCGCAAAGGUCGGGGGUCGGCGCAGGGGGCAGUCCCGCAGCACACUGCCACGUGCGCCAGCAAGCCCCAGCACGCCCCCACUUCCCUCCUGCCUCCCCCCUGCCCACCCCGCCCACCCUCCCCCGACGCGCCCGCUGUACCCAUGUGCCUGGCUUACAGCUUCGCCCCUCCUUAACCAUUCACUCUCUCUCACACACACACACACACACACACACACACACACACACACAUACAUACACACACACACACACACACACGCACCCCCCCGCCCCAGGUGCCUUGCCGCCACGCGGCCCGGCUCCUCCAUCCGCGACCUGCACCACCUGUGCAUCGACGUGCUGAGCCAGGGCAUACGUGACCUGGGGCUGAGGCCGGGCGCCUCGCUGGCAGAGAUACGUGGCAGCAUGUACAGGUGGGCUGUGUGUGGGCGUGUGUGUAGGCGUGUGUGAGGGGCGUGUGUGUGUAUAGGCGUGUUUGUGGGCAUGUGCAGCACUGCCCCGUUCCAACUACGCCUUCCAUCUUGCCUGGGACCACCUACCCCUCCAAUCCAAUCCACCCCAUCCAAUCCCCCCCCACCUUUGUACCUGGCUACGACUUCACUUCGUAUACUUAAUGCAUGUAACCCCCCCCCCCAGGGACUACUUCUGGCACUCCCUGGGCCACUACCUGGGCUUGGACACGCACGACACACACCUGGUGGGACACGACCGCCCCCUGGCGCCCGGAGCCGUCAUCACAGUGGAGCCGGGUGGGUGUUGGGGAGGGGGGGAGGGGGGGACUAUAGGCAGGGUGUGGGGAGGCAGGAGUGGGAGGGAGGGCGUGUGUGGAGGUGUACUGGGCACGUGCCCGUGCGCUGUUCAUGUAAUGCCACGUCACUAGGAUCGCUCCCGGCUUCAGUCCCCAUGCCGCGCCCCCUUGCCCCACCCCGCUGCCAUUGCCCGCUGCCACCCCCUCCUAUGCCCUGCUCCCAUGGCCUUAACCUCACACCCCUUCACCCCCUCUCCCUCCCCCCUCCCCACUCCCAACUCUCCCUCCCAGGCCUGUACAUCCCUGAUGACCCCCGCUACGGCCCCCUGGCGGGCCUGGGCGUGCGCCUGGAGGACGACGUGCUGGUGACCGCCGCCGGCGCCCAGGUGCUCAGCGACCAGGUGGGUGCGAGGAGGGACAGCCGGGCUGGGCUGCGGUGCGGUGCGGACGGGGCUUGGGUGAUAGAUGUAUCAUAAAAGGUGCGGGACGUCGUUUGCACGGCAUGGCAUGCCGUGGUGGUGGUUGGGGUGCUGAAUGGUUGGGGUAGGUGCCGCUUGUUGCCGCUUAGUUGUACCGUGAUGCCACGUCGAGGUAUGGCGAGUGGUGUGUCGUUUUCGCACGCCGUGAUGCUACUGUUAAGUUUACAUGUCGGAAACCCGCUUGUCAAUCGCCGACUGCCCUUUCGUUGCGACGCGGUGCCGCCGUAACCAACAAUGUCAAAAUAAUGUCAAUCAAUGUCACGGUAAUGUUGUUUCUUGGGCAUAUAUAACCCGCUUGCCUUACCUAGCAUGCAUGGAAAUCCCCCUUGUCUGUCAACAGGCACCCGUGGCCAUUGAGGAGGUGGAGGAGCUGGCGGGGUCGGCGGUGGAGGCGGCGGCGGCAGCGGAGGCGGCGGCGCGGGCCGGCGGCGCACAGCCGCGUGCACUGCCGCUGCCGCCACGCGGACCGCCGGCGGCGCUGUGGCAGAUGAUGUACGGGCGGGCGGCGGCGGCGGCGGCGGCGGAAGCGGUUGGGUUGCCUGGGACAGGGGCGGCGGCGGGUGCGAGCGCGCGGGAGCAGGGGGCGGCGGCUGUGUCCUAGGCGGUUUGCUGUUUGUUGUGAGGCUGGCUUGAGGGGCGUGGCACGGCGCGACGGCCGUCAUGGCGGCGGCAAGGAGAGGGAGGUAGCGUCUCGGUGGGCUUGGAUGCUACAAGUGCCGUGACAGGUGCCGUGAAUACGGCUGCUCUGGCGUGGGGGAGAGCGGGAGCUAGGGGGGAGCGUGCGGGAGAGUGGGAGCAAGGGGGGAGCGUGCGGGCGAGCGGGAGCAAGGGGGCGUGUGGAAUGGCAUUGCGCAGCAGCGGGCAGCCGCCAUGACGGCUGCUGCGCGUGUGUUUGCGUUUGCGUGGGCUCCAGUUCACACAGUUUCGCCGCUGCUCGGCCAGCCUCGUCAGAUGCUCCUGUGUGACACUGCUGUAAGAGCAGAGAGUGGUGAGAAGCAAAGUCCCGAGUGUGAUGGCUAGAAUCCCGGCCCACACAUCCCUCAGGGACCCAGGAACCAGAACCCACGUACCUACCUGGUCACCAGCUAUACAUCUGCCGCUGGACACCUCUGACACUUGUGCUGCAUCUCGGCAUCUGACAAUCUGUACACAUACACCGUAGCCUUGGCGGUUGGGAGUUGGAGCCUUGGAGGGACAGGUUUUCAGCGCAUUGGCUGGGGCGGGGGCAGCCAGGCAGGACUCCUGGGGCCCGGGGCCGGGGGGUGUGGCAGGCAGGCAGGCAUCCCGUGUUGAGGAACGCGAUGGACGCAAAGCAGUCGUUACAUGCCGUGCGAGCCAGGGCAUUUGCCUGCAUCGUGCCCAUACAAUUCGAGUCUCGUGCCCACUUGACGGCAAGCGCAUCACCGGGGCCAGUGAAUGUUGGGUUCACAGCUGUGUAGUAGGAGGCCCCACAGCGCUACAGGCACAGGGCUACAGGCACGGCAAUGCUACAGGCUCUGGCGGUCUGGCUCAAGGGAGGGAGGGCCCCUGGCCUGGCCCACCAACGCAUCACACCACGCCCACUCGCUCCGGCACUGCUCCAUCCGAGGUGACAGCCGCACUGCUCCAUCCGAGGUGACAGCCACACAUCCUGCCACAGCACACGUAAUAUCCUGCCCAUGCCCCUGUUCCACAUCGCAGCACGUGCACACCGCAGCAACAACAACCACAACCUGCCGAGUCCUUCGACGUGCCUUCGCGGGCCCCCACAACCGUGCCGGUGUAUAUUUAGAGAUUACCCCCACGAGAUACCCCCCCUCCCAGCGAGCCGGCCCCUGCACACUGAUCACCACCGCCAUCGCCAACUGCCACGCAGUGAUCCUGCACCCGCACAGCUGCCCCCGCCCAUCAACACUGGGCCACCCUCUCCUUCGAGCCCCCCAAACGCUGCUACUGCCUUCUGCUAAUGCCGUCUGCUGCUGCCUUCUGCUACUUCCGUCUCUACUGCCUCUACUGCCGUCUACACUGCUCCUGUCUUCUCCUACUGCUGACUUCUGCCUGCACCCCACCCGCUCCUCCUUGCCUAUGUACACAGCCCCUCGCCCUCCUGCUGCUACUGCCGCCACCCCUGCCCCUGCUACUGCCACACCCCUGCUACACCCCUGCUACUGCCGCUCCCCUGCUAGCCCAGUCCCUGGAACAGGAACUUGAGGUCCUCCAGGGUGAGGCGGCCGGCGGCGGCGGAGCCGUCGCGCCCCUCACUCAGGGCGGCGGCCACCACCUCGCGCUUGCGCUGCGGCGUGGGUGGGCAGGGGGAGAGGAUACAGGGGAGAUUACAUAAAUAAUCAAUCUAAGAAGUGGAGAUGCAGCCAGGCACAGGGGGGUGCGAAUUUGCAAGAUCCAUAGCCCAAUGCAUUGCCUGUGCUUUCUAGCACUUAAGGAUCAAGGGACGUGUGCGAGCAGGCAAGUUGACGAAACACACGACCCGCAACCCGGGCCGCCGCCCGCUCGCCCCCAACGACUCCUCCCCCCCGCCCCCGCACACACCCCAUGACCUUCACACCCCUCCCCCUGAACACGCCCCCCCUGAAACCUCUUCCCCCUGAAACCUCUUCCCCCUGAAUCCCUCUUCCCCCUUCCCAUCCCUGAAGCCUCCCCUGGACUCCCUCCCUCCCCGCACCUGCUGCAGCUCCAGGAUGCGGUCCUCCACACUCCCCUUGAUGACGAUGCGCGUCACGUACACCGUGCGCGUCUGGCCUGUGGGCGCGUGGGUGGGCGAGUAGGUGUGUAAGUGUAUAGGGUAUGUGUCUGGAACUGAUGCAAGGGAAGGAAACACGCGGGCUAACGUGUGUAUGUCUGUGUACAAGUGUGUGUGUGCACGCGGUAGUAAGGGAAGCGGAGACGCGACAGACUCCUUAUCCUCCCUCGGCUCCCCCCUCCUUAUCCUCCCUCGGCCGCCCCCCUCCUCCCUCCCUCACUCCGCUCUUCUUCACGUGAACGGCUACCCCCCAGCCCCCAGCCCCCAGCCCCCAGCCCCCAGCCCCCCCAGCCCCCAGCCCCCCCUGCCCCCCCUGCCCCCCCUGCCCACCAAUGCGGUGCGCCCCCCUGCCCCCCCUGCCCACCAAUGCGGUGCGCCCCCCUGCCCCCCCCUGCCCACCAAUGCGGUGCGCCCGGUCUAUGGCCUGCUCCUCGGUGGUCGGGUUCCACCACAGGUCCAUCAGCACCACGUGGUUGGCCACCACCAGGUUCACACCCAGCGCGGCGGCCUUGAGCGAGGUCUGGAGAGGGGGGGUGGGGGUUGCAAAGAUGGUUGGGAAAGCGGUACAGGAUGCACCAAAGACUGCAAACGAAGUCGUUGACAAAUGAGCGGCGGGAAGGGUGGGGGAGGCGAACAUGGGGGGUAGACGGUGGGCGGGUGGUGCGGAUUGUGUAUUCCAAACCCAGGCCCAGAAGGCAGUUACAACUCCCCCCCCUCUUGGCCCCUCUGCCGGCCCCUCACCAGAAGCACCAUGACCUCGUUCUUGGACUCAAAGUCCUGGAUGGCCCGCUCCCGGUGAGCCACAGACAUGGUGCCGUCCAGCCUGGGGGGUGGGGCGGGGGUUGCAUUCAUUAUAAUUUAAGAAGUAGUUGGCGGGAGAUUGUAAAUUCCAGCCCAAACCAAACCAAACCAAGCUAAAACGUGGGGAGGGGUGGGUGGGAGUUGGCGGCAGGGUGCGGCAUGUGCGUGUGGUGGUGGGCGUGGUGUAGUCACCAUCCAGGAGACACAGUUAUGCAGGAGGUGGGCUAGCCGUCCAUGCACGACAAACCGAAUUGUUGAUGGAUGUUUCCGCCGGCGUGCGGUAGACGCGAGACAGGCGUGAGAUUGCGCUAGACGCGUGUCCACGGCCACACCGCACAUCCCUUUCCCACUGCCGCACCCUCGCAACCCCACCUCUACCACCUCACCUCUCUGGCCCCCCUCCCUGCCCCCCAAAACACACAGUCACACCCACACCCACACAUACACCCAAACAUCCACGCCCUCACCUGCGGAAAGCCAUGCGCGCCUUCUUGAGCGGGAUCUCCAGCAGGUCCAACAUGGUCGUCCACUGGCUGAACACAAUCACCUGCGGAGGUGAGCACACAUACACAUGAGCGAGCACACGUGAGUGAGUGCACACGUGAGUGAGCACGCAUCAGGGGACAUGAGGGCACAUGCGGGGGAGACGCCACGAGUGUGCGUGUGUGUGUGUGUGUGUGUGUGUGUGUGUACGCGCCAUAGGUCAGCAAACAGAGGGAAAGGAGUUGAGCUGAUGACAGACAGAGAGCCCACGGGAGGCGCAAGGUGUCCUUGUCCGUGUCACCCCCACCCCCGCCCCCACACCCCCCCUCCCUCCAAAGGCACUCGCCUUCUCUGGCUGUCCCGCUCCGCCGCUGCCGGGUGCUCCGGCGCUGAGCGGCGUGAGCUUCCUCAGAGCCCCCGCCAGCCGCCUGUCGGACUUGGACUUGACAGCCAGCGGGUUGAGCGCGGAGGGCGCGGCCCUGAGGGCGCGCGUGUGUGUGUGUGUGUGUGCGUAUGUGUCUGUGUGUGCGUGUGUGUCUGUGUGUGUGUGUGUGUGUGUGUGUGCGUCGGGCACAGGGGAGACAAGAUGGUACAGAUGGUAGGCUCCAAUCACACGCACACGCACGGGUACACACACAAACAGACACACACACACACACACACACACACACGCACGGACACGCGCGCACAAUCCGCACCUGCCGGCCCCUGCCGCCGAGGCGCUGUUGCGCGCGCGCACCUCCCCCAGCAGCGCCAUCAGCCGCUCCACCUUGGCGCUGCUGGUCCAGGCGGGGCCGCCGGCAGCAGCAGAGGCAGAGGUAGAGGCGGCGGAGGCGGAGGCGGCAGAGGUGGCAGAGGUGGCGGCGGUGGCGGCAGCGGAGGCAGAGGUGGCGGCAGCACCGGGGCUGCCGUCGCCGCCCUCGCCUGUAGGUAGGCAGAUAGGCGGGCGUGCGGGAGGGGCGUGUGCGUGCCGUACGUCAGCGCCCGGCGGUGUGGUCAGGCACAGAGCGGCACGGCAGCCCCCUGCCGGCAUUCCUAAUUAAGCGCGUGUGCGCCGGGCCGGGUUAGCAUGUCUAGCCAUAUUGGUGCCGAUGUGGCCAACUACCCGCUGCCUCGCCCUUCUGUCUCUGUCUCCACCGUGCCAUACACACCACCUCCCCUCCCUUCCCCGUCGCGGCUGCUGGCACCCCCCCCCCCGCUCCCCCCCCCGCUCACCCGGCGCCGGCCCGCCCAGCAGCCCCCCGAAUGCCGCCGGGUCGGCUGCGGCCAGUGCGGCGGCGCUGUGCAGGUCGGCGGGGCGCAGCAGGCGGCUGCAGGCGGGGCACAGCAGCUCGCCCUCCACACCUGCAUGAAGUGUCGUCAGGGAGGUUGUUGUUACAAAGAUGGCAAGGGAGAAGUAGGCAUCCGUCCAUUGCGGUUCUUCCCUACGGCGGCGUCUCCUGACCUUGACGAAGCGUUGCGUUGGCGAGCACACCGCACCCCGCCCCCAUCCCCGCUGCCCCAGCCACCCCACCCCGGCAGCCCCCGCGCUCUCCUCCGCGCGAUGAUGAUUUCUUUUGGGACUGGUAUUUACAACCCGCGCCCCCGCCCCCACAUACACACACGGCACACGCUCACCGGCUCCCUCCCGCUGCCCCGCCAGGCACUGCGCACAGAACACGUGGCCGCACGGCACCGCCGCCACAGGCGCCUCCGCAAUGUCGCCACAGCAGGCACACGGCACGUCGCCGCCACCACCCGCGCCGCCGCCGCCGCCGCCCGCCGCCAGCGCCGCCGCCAGCGCGGCCCGCGCCUCCGGCGACAGCUUGCGCGCCGCCUCCACCUCCGCAGCACUGGGGGCGCCUGUAUGUUGCGUGUUGGACGUCGGGUUGUGGGGUGCGUGUGUUUGCAGACGGACAAAUCCAAGUAGCAGUCAUGCGCUCCCGGACUCCCGGCCGCCAUCCAUCCACUGCUCUUAUGCCAGACCCGACGCCGCCACCCGCCGCCACCCGCCGCCCCCCUGCCGCCACCCACCACUCUUGUGCCACUGCCGGCCGCCCCGCACCAGCCAGGGGUGGUUGCAGGCCUGCCGCAGCUUCAACAGCGAGUGCAGCAUGUUGACGUACUGCCGCGAACCGCCGCCGCCGCCGCUGCCAUUGGCGGCUGCGCCUCCGGCGGCAGUGGUGGUGUCGGCUUGGCUCUGGGCCUCGUGUAGCGCCUUGAGGGAAUCCUGCUGUACCUGUGGGUGGCGUGUAGGAAUGUGAGGGGCUUCCUGUUAAAAUGUGAGGGACAGUGGGCGUACAAGGAGUGAGACUCACCCUUCCACCCAUUUUCGCCGCCACACAAGCUAAUUUCCCCAAUUUCGCCGCCACACAAGCUAUUUUCGCCCUUUUCGCCGCCACACAAGCUAUUUUCGCCAUUUACCGGUACUUUAUUGCCGGCCCUCACACCUAUGCACAUGUUCUGACCAAUACCGGCUCCCAAGACCCAUUUCCGCCCUCCACACCACGCGCCCCACCCUCCUCCCCCUCCCUCCUUUCCCCGCCCAACCAAACCCCCCUCUUGGGCUGGGGCAAACCAAACCCCCUUCCCCCUCCCCCCCCCCACACUCCACCCUGCCCCCUCUCCCCCACACCUGACUGUAGAAGGCCGCCUCCGCCGCGCUGAAGCGCUCCUGCACCAGCGCCUGCUGCCGCCCCGGCAGGCGGAUGAUGGGCUCGCCGUUGAGGGUGGACUGCUUGGUGCGGCGGAGCAGCACAGCCUGGGGCGGUGGUGUGGGGGGUGGGGUGUGGGGUGUGGGGGGGGGGGGGUGAGAGGGGGUGAGAGGGGGUUGGGGGUGUGGGGGUGUGGGGCAUUGUGGGGUGAGGGGGCGGUUAGGGUGGGGUGGGGUGGGGUGGGGUGGGGUGGGAUGGGGGGUGGGGGUGUAGAGGGGUGAGGGCUUGCGGAGUGGGGUUAGGGGUGGGUGGGUGUAGCCCUGUGGUGUAGCCCUUGAAGGAAGGCAGGAGCGGUUUGGUUGGGGCUGGGUAGGCGCAGAGGGGCGGUUGGUUUACACCUUGCACUCGAUGUCACUUGUGACAACAACGAAGGCAGCAACCCACUUGCAAACACACGCACAAACACACGCACGCACGCACCUGCAGCACUGCCUGCAGGAACUUGUACCCCCGGGAGGGGUCGGACGUGAUGCGCCCCUUGAUCAGCUCGCGCCACUGCCGCGGGUCGCAGUAGGGCGCGUAGCGCAGGAACCUGGGGCGCCGGGGAAGGGAGGGAGGAGGGUGGUUGUGGUGGUGUAACCCCAGCCCACGGAUGUUUGGAAAAGCGGUACAGGGGGAGGGGGGAGCGGGGUGGGGAGUGAUAAAUUCCAGCCCAAACUAGACCAAACCAAGCUAAACGAGCGGAGCACAGGCAGAGGCAUUAGGGGGGGGGGGACAGGGUGGGGUCGUGUGCGUUGGGGGUGCGGUGACUGCUGGGUGAUGCGAAGCAAUGUGCUGCGAAACGUUCGUGUUGGCUUCCCACCAGGCCACCACACAUGCUCCCGUUUAGCUGGGACUGGGACAAACUACACACCGAACCCCUACCCAACCCCAUGACCGGGUCCUGGCUUCAUGGGAUUGCAAAGAAGGUACCUACAGCCCCCUCCGCCCGUUUUGCUUAUUUAUUAGUUAUAUUAAUAUAUUAAUGCCGCUAACCCCGCCCCCCCGCCCCCCACCUGAAGUAGCUGUACAGGUCGUCCACGGAGUUCUGUAUGGGCGUGCCGCUGAGGCACCAGCGGCAGUGCGCGUGCAGCGCCCAGGCGGCGUGCGCGGCCAGGGUGCGCGGGUUCUUGAUGGACUGAGCCUCGUCCAGCACCACACUGCGGUGGGGGUGGUGGUGGUGGUGGGGGGGGGGGGUUGCAAGGAUGGGUACAGAGAAGUGUAGCGAAGUAGACAGGGGUGGGGGGGGGGGUGAGGAGAGGGGUGGGUGGGUGCGGGGUAAGGGGUGUAGGGGCGUGCUGGUGGAGCGGACUAGAGUGGAGUGCGCGGGGGGUCGUCAUUGCACGAGGGCCCAUCCCAUGGAGAACCCAUCCCGGGGGGAGAAGGCGUGUGGAUGUACCGGCGUAUGUGCGCGUGUGUGUUAGUGUCAGUGUGACCCCAUGCAGCAUCCAUGUUUCCAUGCCGCUCAUUCCUUCUACUCUAUAGGUUGCACUUGGCCCCUCACAACCACUCACCGCCUCCAUUUGACCUGGUAGAUAAUGCCGCCCGCGCCGCUGCCGCCACCCGCACCGCCCUUGCCGCGGCCCCUGCCGCCGCCACCGCCACCGCCGCCACCACGGCCGCGGCCGCCGCCGCCACCAUACUGCACACCAGUGACAGCCGCGCCACACCCCCAACAACACAAAGCCACUUGAGCAACAUGAGCGAUGCAAAAGCGUCUGAGCGGCUUCUAAAUCAUACAUGGCAGUACUUCAAUGCAUGUGUCUGGCAGCAGGCACGGACACGCCAUACCCCAUGUCAGCCCCCGAUCGUGCACACAUCUCCCCCUUCCCGUUUUGAGCGCUACACACAUCCCAAGUACACACACCCGCACACACGCUCCCACAGCACACACACCCCGCACACAUGCCCGCACAGACCCCGCCACGCGCACCCACCUCGUCGCCUCCGCUGUCCUCGCCGCCUCCCUGCACAGCCGCCACCGGGCCAGACCGAGUUAGCUCACAUGCACACAUGUAAAUACGCACACAGGUCUUAGUACCUGUCAACGGGUCCGUGCGCGUCCAAGAAACAGGGUAAGGCCCAACCUCCGCCGCGCUCUGCUUCUGGGUCUUGCUUUCGUUGGGCUUGUCAUAACCCUCCCUCCCUCCCGCCCACCCUCCCUCCCACCACACACACACUCGCGCACGCACCUGCCUCGCGCCCAGCCUCACCGCCGCCGCCCUGUCCCUGGCCGGCGCCUCCUGCGCCAGUGUACCGUAGGUGGUGAGCACCACGCCCAUGCCCGCCAGCGCCCUCGCGCUGCCCGCCCGCUCCUUGCCGUGGUACACGUGCACCACCAGCCCCGCGGCGGGGGACACCUGAGGGGGCGGUGGGCGUGUGCGUGUGUGUGUGCGUGCGUGUGUGUGUGCGUGUGCGUGUGUGUGUUUGUGUGUGUGUGUGUUAAAGAGCACAAGGAAAACAUUGCGCAAAGACGUGUGUGUGUGUGUGUGUGUGCGUGCGUGGUUACAAUUUUAUGAUUGAUGAAGAAAAAGCGAGUUUGUAGCCAGGCACAUGGGUGCGGGAAUGGCGUAGGGUGUGGGGAUGGGGGGCCUGAGUGCCAGGGAAUCGUAGACAUGCAUGAAGACAGAACCUUCGUUUUCUCCUGCUGCCGCUGCGGCUGGCAGGCCCCACACACUCGACACGCAAUGUCAACACACACGCGCUCGACCCCACCUUGGCCUUGAUCUCCCGCGCCCACUGGUGCAGCACACUGGUGGGACACACAACCAGUGUGCCCCCCAGCAGCAGCCCGGGCGGCUCCGGCGCAUACACCACCUCGGCACCCUUGACGCCCUUGGCCCGGCCGCCGAAGGCGGCGGAGGCGGCGGCGCCCGCGCCCGCCGGCCGAGGCUGCGGCGGCGCCGCCGCCGCCGCAGCGCCGCUGCCGUGCGCGCCUGCGGCGGCGCCGCCGCCGCCUCUGGCGGCGGCUGAUGCCGGCGAGGGGCCGUCCGUGAUGGAUAGGAUGUCGGGGGAUUGCUCCUGUGUGUAGAUGCCGGUGGUGGGAUCCUCCUCCUCCUCCUCCUCUUCGUCGUACUCGCCAUCGCCGCCUCCCGCCAGGUCCACAAAGUCAGGCACGGGCCCCACCGGCCCCACAGGCCCGGGCUGCAGCACCUGCGCCCACCGCUGCUGCUGCUGCUGCUGCUGUAGCUGGGGCGGCUGUAGCUGGGGCGAGGGCGAGGGCGCGGCGUCAUCGACAUCCAUGGGGUCAGGCUUGAUCUCAUCUUUGACCUCGGCCUUGACCCCGACCUCGUCUUUGAUGUUGCCGAUGUCAUCCUUGAUCCGGACCUCAGGCUUGAUGACCUCGGGCUUGAUGACAUCCGCCAUGUGGACGUCAGCAUCAGGACUGGCCUCAGGCUCGGCCUUGACGCCCGCUGCCUCCGCCUCCUCUGCCCCUUCUGCCUCCGCCGCCCCUUCCACCUUCACCGCAGCCCCGACCAGCCCCACAUCCCCCGGCGCCGCCUCCGCACCGCCCUCAGCCUUCACACCCAUAGCCGCAGCAGCAGCAGCAGCGCCAGCAGCGCCCGCCACCGCCCCCGGCUCCAGCCUUGGCGACGCCCCCGGCUGCAGCCGCUGCCAGCCGCCCUUUGCCUUCGCCUUCGCCUUCGCCGCAGCUGCCUUCACAGCGAGCGGCACCUCUUCUGCAGCCGCCGCCUCCGCCGCCUCCACCGCCUCCGCCGCCACCUCCGCCGCCACCUCCUCCGCCGCCCCUGCCGCCGCAGCCUCCUCCGCCAGCAUAUCCGCCGCCGCGCCGCCCGCCUCCGCCGCCGCUUCAGCCGCCGCCGCCUCGCGCUCAGCCCUCAGCGCCCCCAGCCGCACCCCCUGCUCGUCCACCCGCUCCUCGCUCUCAUCCUCCGCCACCAUCUCAUCCUCCUCCUCCUGCUGAUCCUCCUGAUCCUCACCCUCAUCCCGAUCCUGAUCCUGAUCUCGAUCCUGGUCCUCCCCUUGAUCCCCGUCAGCGCUGCCGCUGCUGCCGCGCCCCCCGCGGCGCCGCUGCUGCUGCUGCCGCGGCGGAGAUUGGGAGCUGCCCGGCCCGCCCAAGUGCCCGUGCCCGGCCCCACCGCCGCUGGUCGCCGCAACCCCUGGGGCCCCUGCCGCUGCAGCUGCAGCUGCUGCCGUUGCGCCGGCGCCAUUGGCGGCAGCGCCUUCGGCACCGCCUCCCUCGGCCGCGGCUGCUGCUGCUGCUGCUGCUGCCGCUUCGGCUGCGCCCGGUGCGCUGUCCUCGGGGUUGGUGUGCGUGACGAUGAGGGAGAUGGUGGUGACGGUCUUGCCCAGGCCCUGUGCGUGUGUUUGUGCUCCGUCAUGCGUCGUCGUGUCUCGUAAAGUCUUGUUGGGGAUGAUGAAACACCCCUCCAUGGCUAACCCCCCGUCCCACCCCUCCUUCCCCCACCUCCCCCCUCCUCCCNNNNNNNNNNNNNNNNNNNNNNNNNNNNNNNNNNNNNNNNNNNNNNNNNNNNNNNNNNNNNNNNNNNNNNNNNNNNNNNNNNNNNNNNNNNNNNNNNNNNNNNNNNNNNNNNNNNNNNNNNNNNNNNNNNNNNNNNNNNNNNNNNNNNNNNNNNNNNNNNNNNNNNNNNNNNNNNNNNNNNNNNNNNNNNNNNNNNNNNNNNNNNNNNNNNNNNNNNNNNNNNNNNNNNNNNNNNNNNNNNNNNNNNNNNNNNNNNNNNNNNNNNNNNNNNNNNNNNNNNNNNNNNNNNNNNNNNNNNNNNNNNNNNNNNNNNNNNNNNNNNNNNNNNNNNNNNNNNNNNNNNNNNNNNNNNNNNNNNNNNNNNNNNNNNNNNNNNNNNNNNNNNNNNNNNNNNNNNNNNNNNNNNNNNNNNNNNNNNNNNNNNNNNNNNNNNNNNNNNNNNNNNNNNNNNNNNNNNNNNNNNNNNNNNNNNNNNNNNNNNNNNNNNNNNNNNNNNNNNNNNNNNNNNNNNNNNNNNNNNNNNNNNNNNNNNNNNNNNNNNNNNNNNNNNNNNNNNNNNNNNNNNNNNNNNNNNNNNNNNNNNNNNNNNNNNNNNNNNNNNNNNNNNNNNNNNNNNNNNNNNNNNNNNNNNNNNNNNNNNNNNNNNNNNNNNNNNNNNNNNNNNNNNNNNNNNNNNNNNNNNNNNNNNNNNNNCCCCCUCCUCCCCUCCCUCCUCCCAUCCUCCCCUCCUCCCCUCCUCCCCUCCUCCUCCCCUCCCCUCCUCCUCCUCCUCCUCCUCCCCACCGGCCCCCCCCUCCCCACCCCACCUGGUCGUCUGCCAGUAUGCCGCCCCGCGGCUCCGGCCCCGUCUCCCGCCGCAGCAUCCAGGCCAGGGCCAUGCGCUGGUGGCGCAGCACAGUCACCUGCAGCGUCUUCUGCGGGAGGUGGGGUGGGGAGAGGCGAGGUGGUGGGGAGGUGGUGGAGGGGAGGUGGGGUUGCAUUGAUAUGGAGUCAAGACAAGAUGCGCCCACGUUUUUCUUAGUUGAACUGGGUAGUGUCAGCUUUACGGAGGGACAACGAGCUGGAGCGCGGCCGCCCGCACGGCCACUCAUGUGGUAACGACUUCGUCUGCAGUCUUUAGUGCAUCCUGUACGGCUUUUCCAAACAUCCUUGUAAACCCCCCCUUCCCUAAGCCCCCCACCGGCGGCGGCUCCAGCUCCUCCAUGCCUGUGGCGGACAGGCUCUCGAUCACCGCCCGCAGCGCCGCCAGGUGCUCCGGGCCUGACAGCAGGACGAGGGGGGAGAGGCGGGGGGCGUGUGUGCCAGUUGUGUGUGUGCGUGUGUGUGAGGGCAGCCGCACCACUGCUGUCCAUCCGCCCCGCCACGCACCUUUGCCGCCACCCGCCGCGUCGGCCACGGCGCCCGCGCCACGACCGGGCGCGCCCACGCCCACUGCACCGCCCGCCCCUGCCGCCGCCGCCGCCGCCGCCUGCCGCGCCGCCGCCUGCGCCGCUGCAUGUAUCACCGCUGCCUGUGCCGCCGCGCGCAGCAGGCCGCUGGCCGGUAUCGCCACGGGCAAUGCCGGCGCCGCAGAGCCGCCACCUCCGGCGCCGCUCGGGGCCGCCGCCGCCGUCGCUGCCGCCGCCGCCGCCCCGGAGACUGCCCGUGCGGCGGCGCCGCCACCGCCAUUGGCGGCUGGGGCCGUAGUCAUGGCGGGCCUACCCGGACCCUGCAGGGAACACAUGCGGAGCGUGCAGGGGUGGGCAGGCAAGCCGCAGCGUUAGCAGCAAGACACAGCGCUAGGCGUCUGCAGCAGGCGUGACAGCUGCAUGAGAGCUGACUUCUCGAGGCCGGCAUGCAAACACACACAUUUCGCAGCAACCCUUGCUAGAAAUGGUGUGCCUCGCCGCCCUCUCCCUGCCCCAACCGCUUCCUCCCAACCCACCUGCCAUACCACCGCCCCGCGGGCAGCAAUCACUGCAGCCAGGCCGGUGGCGCCUGCAGCGGCAGCAGUAGCAGCAGCGGCAGUAGCAGCAGCACCGGCGGGCGCUGUAGCUGCGCCCGCCGCCCCACCGCCCGCCGCGGCCGCCGGGCUGACAGUGCGCGGCCCUGCCUGAGGCUGCGCCACCGCCGCCUGCUGCGCCUGCUGCGUCUGCUGCGCCUGCUUAGGUUGCUGUGCCUGCUGUUGUGCCUGCUGCUGCUGCUGCAGGGCGUGGAUCUGGCGCUCCAGCUUCGCGGCGGCUUCCUGGAACUUGGACCGCUCAGCAUCCGUCAGCGGGCGCAGCUCAUUGCUCUGCCUGCGAGGGGUUUUUGUUUGUGACUUGUGAUCUGAAACUGAUGUCUAUCGCAAGGCAGGUAACCAGGAACCCAGCGCCGCGCCGCGCCUGUACCCCUCUUGCUGUUCCUACUCGACGUCAGCACUUCAUACUUGUCAUAUAAUCACUCCGUCUGACGGCUACUACCCCUCCCCGGCCGAUGCCUGGAACCGCAUCCUAGGUGCUCCCUGCUGGGAAAUGCACGCCUCCGCCCCAACCCCACCCCCGGUUUAGAUUGGACUGGUAUCUGGUAUCUGGUAUCUGCAAACCCCAGCCCCACUCCCAGCCUCCCCCCUGUUCCUACCCCAGCCCACCCCAAUCACCAGCCCCCCCCCACCUGCUGACGGGCAUGGUCCCCUCCCUCAGCCGCCCCGCCACCACGCCCAGGUGCCGCCGCAGCGCCGCCUCCUGGGCUGCCAGCGAGCCGGCGGCGGCAGCGGCUGGAGCAGCGGCGGCUGGAGCAGUGGCGGCUGGAGCAGUGGCGGCUGGAGCAGUGGCGGCUGGAGCAGUGGCGGCUGGAGCAGCGGCGGCUGGAGCAGUGGCGGCUGGAGCAGUGGCGGCCGGGGAGGCAGUGGCGGCGGCUGGAGCAGUGGCGGCUGGAGCAGUGGCGGCUGGAGCAGUGGCGGCUGGAGCAGUGGCGGCUGGAGCAGUGGCGGCUGGAGCAGUGGCGGCUGGAGCAGUGGCGGCCGGGGAGGCAGUGGCGGCGGCUGGGGAGGCGGCCGGGGAGGUGGCGGCAGUGGCGGCGGCAGCGGGUGGGGAGGUGGUGGCGGCCGCUGCCUGAGAGGUGGCGGCGAUGGCGGUGGGGGCUGCUGCUGCAGGGGAGGCGGGAGAGGCGGCUGUGGCCGGGGAAACCGUAGGCGCAGGCGCAGGUGCGGGAUCUGGCGCGGCGGCUGACGCUGUCGCCUGCGGCUGCUGCUGCUGCUGCUGCUGCUGCUCCGGAUGGGGCGGCGCCGGUGGCGGCGGCUGCUGAUGUUGUUGCUGCUGCGGGUGACGCGGCGGCGCGUGUGUGGCGGCUGCGGCCACGGCCUGGCGCUUGGCGGGUGGGCCUGGAGGGUGGGCAUGCACGUCUGUCGUUUCAGGACACAAGAAGACUUGAGGACAGUCAACGCGCGAACAGGACAGGGCGGGUGACAGGGUGACAGGGCGACAGGGUGAAAGGGGCAACAGGUCGGUCCUAGGGUUUGCAGGGCCUGCAUCGGGGCUCACCAGCAGUGCGAGUGGCACCUGCUCAUUCACGCCUUCCACCAACAGCAGGCAAACCCCGCCCCGUCUCUCUCGCUCCCCCUCCUGCUGCCUUGCAUGGACAGCCCUCCCCCAUGGUCCAGGCGCCGCUCCCACCCGCGGCCUCACCCGCGGCCUCAGCUGCCGCCACCUCCACCUCCACCUCCACCUCCACCUCCAUCUCGCCCAGCCCCGCCUGCUGCUCCCCCCGCACAGGCACAGGCCGCUUCCGCCCUGCCCCCUGCGCCCCCUGCGGCUGCUGCGGCUGCUGCGGCUGUUGUAGCUGCUGCAGCUGCUGCGGCUGCUGCGGCUGCUGCGGCUGCUGCGGCUGCUGCGGUUGCCGCAGCUGCUGCGGCGGCGGCGGCGCCUCCUGCGGCUGCUCCUGCGGCUGCGCAGCGAUGCCGCCGCCUGCAUCCACCGCCGCACCUGCCGCCGCCUGUGUCGCCGCCGCCGCCGCCGCCUGUGCCACCGCCGCCGUCGGAGGCGGCUCGGGCAAGCCCGCGGCCACAUCCACCACCCCGUCACCGCCGCCACCGCCGCCGCCAACUGCAACAGUGUCUGAGCCGCCGCCGCCACUUGCCGCCGCAACAGGCGCCGUCGCCGUACCCGUCGCCGUAGCCACCGCCGCCGCCGCCGCCUCUGCCGCCGCCGCACCGCCCUCCUGCUGCUCCAGGCUGCCGGGUGCCGCCACCGGCCCGUCGGGCGCGGCCGCGAGGGCAGUCGGCUUCAGCACCGCAGCACACGGCACGGCUGCCGGCGCGGGUGCAGGCUCAGGUGCGGGUGCAGGCGCAGGUGCAGGUGCGGGCGCGGGCGCGGGCGCGGGUGCAGGCGCUACUGCCGCUGGCGCACCCGCAUCGGCCUCGGGCUCUGACUUAGCCUUGGCUGCCGCCCCCACCCUUGCGCCCUUGCCCGCGCCCUUGCCCGCACCCUUGCCCGCGGGUGACGCGGCGGAGCCCUUCGCUUUCCUCGCCGGCUGCUGCUUCGGCUCCUGCUUCGGCUCCUGCUUCGCGUCCGGCUUGGGCUCCUGCUGCGGCUCCUGCUGGGGCUGAUGCGGCGGCGGCAUCACAUCCGCCGCUGGCGCCGCCGCAUUCACCACAUCGCCCCGUGCCCCGCCGCCAUCGUCGUUCGCAGCUGUUGCGGCUGCCGCUGCGGGCCCGGUAGCCGGCGCCCCGGUGGGCGGCGCAGGCUCCGGCAGCAGCGGCGCCGAGCCCUGAGCCGGCGUUGAGGCUUGCGGUGUAACCUCCGUCGCCGUCGCUGCCACCGCGCCGCCACCCCCGCCCUUACCCCCGUCCGACCCUGCCGCCGCCGCCGCCGUCCCCGCUGCCGCUGCUUUUGCGCCCGCCACUGCAGACGACGCCGCUUCCGGCUGGGAGCUGGCGGCGGUUGACUGUACGACGUCUGCUGUUACGGUUACAGGCUUGGGUCCCGUGCCUGCGGCUGCAGACGGAGCUGGGGCGGCGACUGGCCGCGCAGCUGCCACGCCCGCGCCGGCACCGGCCGGGCGCUUGCCGUGCCCCUCCGCGGCCGCCGCCGGGCCCGUUGCAGCAGCACGCGACUGCUGUUGCUGCGUGUUACGAGGGCCGGAGGAGGUGGACAUGAAAGCGUGUGUGUUUGCGAAGCAUGUCAGCGCUUGGGCUACGGCACGAGGUGCGCAUGGGGGGUUGAAUGCUCUGGGGGGCCACUGUGCGUACAGGCCCCGCAUGCACGCAGGCAGCAGCAGCUGAACCCCAGCUCAGCAACCCCUCACUCUACACCCCAACCCCAGCCCCAACCGCGGGACAGCCCCUUAUUCCUGCGACUCAUGCCCACAGCCAGCUUUUACUACGCAUGGGGCUCGCCAUCGUCUGGCGGGGAGCCAUUUGCCACGCAUCCUCACCGUGGCGUUGCUGGCAGCCGACGCAGCGGCUUGGCGGGACCUGGCUCGGGCCAGCUGCAUGGCCCGCAACACGUCAUUCACCCUGAACAAAGCGGGUCGCGGCAGGCGAGGGUUUAGUGCAAGAAACUUGGUGCAACCGAGCGGAUGUUCCCGUGCACGCGCAACCGGUUCCGGCUUCAUCGCAGACCAGCUCACCUGUCUCCCAUUGUUUGUGUAACAGCAGUACUCCUUGCUGUAAACCUAGAACGGCUCUGCACAGAACGCCAUCUAGAAGUACCGCCCGCCCUCAGCCUCUUAUGUGACUUUUAGCUCAACAAUACAUUCCAUAUGAUGACACGGUUCUUGGUACAAAGCGUGUGCCCAUUUUCCUACAGGGAGCUAGAGAGCCCAUGCGACCAAGUCCCGAAUUUCAGGAAUCGCACUGUCUAACAGUGGUAAUUUAUUCAUUGAAGGCGCUGAAGGCUGUGAAAUGGAUUAGCAUAGCUCAAAUGGUUGCGUUGAAGCCCCUCGUCAGAACAUCCAUAUGAACCUAUUCUGGUCAGUAGAUAACCCUUCCUUCGUAUUAAGCUAUUGUAUUAUCAUAUAAUGUGGAAGACUCUUGCGCUUGUCGCGGACGAGGAGGUCCGGGUGACCGAGGAGUCCGUGCGAUCAAGCAAUGCUGCCCUGAAUAAGGCUGCAGUGGAGUUGCAAGAUAAAAUCAAGGUGGGGGGUCGAGGGGUCAGCGCGAGCCGCCGAACGGGCAUGUCUAUACUCUAUAGUGGACUCACUUUGUAGUUCGUGGAUCGCUCCCGCUUCUUGCGCUACUCCUUAUCGCUAUUGCCAUGGCUAUGCAACCUACAACCCGUUCAUUUUGCGCCCAUGGGCCUGGGAAAGACGGGCUGCCAGCUCCCCGGCAUGUCGACGCAUUGCGUGGGGAGGGGACACACUAACGCAGCCCUUACCACACCAACUUACCCAGCCCCUGACUCCACACUUGACAUGCGCACAAUACCACAACCAUUCUUGCAUUCGCAGUCAUUGCUGGGCCAGUAUGCGGGCAGCGGCGACGCGGCCGGGCUUCCCGGCAUUGUCGAGGGCGGCAUCGCCGGGGGGGCCCCGGCGCCUGGCGAGCGCGCGGCCAUAGAGCAGGCGUCGGCACUUCUGGGUCGGCUGGUGGAGCAACCCCCCUCUUUGGAUUCGGGGGAACCCAACCCAAAUCAAAUCCUCACGCCGCGCUCACUGCCGGUCGCACGCGACCACCGACUCGGCACCGGCGCCGCGCCGGGCGCGGGUGCGGAUGUGGGCAUUUUUGGCGCGGGGGCGGGCGUGGGAGCGGGCGCGGGCGGCAAGGGCGCCGGCACAGGCGCCGGAAUCAACAAGCUGCGGCCGUACCUGCAGGUGGGAGGGGCGUGGGGCGUGAUGGGGGGGGGAAGCGUGUGUGAGUUUGGUUACGGCGAGAGGGCUGUGAGGCUCUCCGAUGGGGAUGCGCCGUACGGCGGUGUGGCGGUGUGGCGGUGCGGGAGGUAGUAUACAGGAUGGGGAUGGUGGAUGGUGCGUGUAGCACGGCGCCGUUUGGGGUGUGCCGCGGCCCCUGGGGCACACCUGAAGUGUCACGCGUGCGUGCCGGUGGGCAGCACGUGUGCGGGUGUGGGCCAGCUGACGAGGCGAGGCGAGACGAGCUGACAUGAAGAGGGGUCACACACGUGGCGCGGGCAGGGGGCGCCGGCAGGCGUGUAUGUCUGGGGCGGGCGGGCAGGAGGCGGGCGGGAGGCGGGCGGUGCAAAGGCGGGGUUGUGCUGGGUGCGCCAACCGGCCGGGGCCGGGGCCGGGGCCGGGGCCGGGGCCGGGGCCGGGGCCGGGGCCGGGGCCGGGGCACGGCAAGGCCAAGGGGCAGGGGUUGGGGCAGCUGUACACAAUCCCCACUAAGGGUGAAGGCACUCCCCACCCCGCUGCGGCGUUGAUGAAAGGCGCGCUCAUCUAAUCAGCCAUGCCUGGCAACCCGCCCGCAGACCGACGUGCCCUCCCUCAAGUGGGAGGUGUGCGCCAUCCCUGGAGCCGAGCCCAGCACACACGGCGCCGGCGGCCUCUCACACCCGGGGCAGCGCUCCUCCCGCGGCACCAUCGGAGCCGGCGGCGGCGGCGGCGGCGGCAGCCGGCGGCCGCUGUCUGCGGCGGCGGCGGGCGGCGGCGGCGGCGGCGGCAAGCCGGCGCACCUGGAUCUGGUGGUGGACCGGGCGGAUGCGAUGGACGCGGAGGCAGAACUGCAUGUGCGUGGCGUGUGCGCGCGCGCGCGUGUGUGUGUGUGUGUGUGUGUAUAUAUGUGUGUGUUAGAAAACACGAGAUAGCGGACGCGCAGACUGUGUGAGUGUGUGUGUGUGUGUGUGUGUGUGUUUGUGAGUGUGUGUGUGUCACCGCCCUCUCCCCCUCCACCACCCACCACCCCACCCCCGCUGUCUACCUCGCUGCACUUCUCUGUACCAGCUUUGCAACCCCUCAACCCCCUCCCUAGCCACCCACCCUCCACCCCACCCCACCCCACCCCACCCUACCACCCUUACAGAAGAGCCGCGUGGACGUGGCGUUUGACUCCCAGAUGGACCUGCGGGCGCUGCACGUGGACGUGAGCCCCAUCGGGCUGCACCACCUGCUGCUGGGGGAUGCGGUGGCGCUGGACAGCCUGCCGCAGCGGGACGACAUGUUGUGGUACAAGAUGUACUGCCAGGAGCAGCUCAUGGUGAUGCGGGGGGACGGAGGGGGAGGGAAGGAGGGGGACUGGGGGAAGGGGGGCUGGGGGGAGGGGGCUGGGGGAGUGGGGGGGGGAGGGGGGCUGGGGGAGUGGGGGGAGGGGGAGGGGGGAGGGGGGAGGGGGGGGUGGAGGGAGUGGGGGGAGGGGGACUUGGGAGGGGGGGACUGGGGGGAGGUGUUUGAUGAGGUAUGAGGGCGCAGGACUUGCUCUAGCAACUUCCCAACCUCCCAACCUCGGGCAUAUAGCCCUCCCCAGCCCCAAGCCCCCACCCUGCUGUGUUGCACCUUACUCCCAUUGCUCCAAACCCACCACCUCACCCCUCACCCCUCACCCCCCCCACCCCACCACCACCACCACCCCUCCAGGCCGACACGCGGCACUACCUGGUGUCUCUGUUCCACACCGCCGCCGACCCCGGCGAGGCCUGGGCGCGCAUCACCGACGCCUUCAUGCACGGACUGGCGCUGCCCGACCCAGAGGCGGCGAGACGGGUGGGGCGGCUGAGGAAGCACGGCGCGGACGGCGCAGUGUGAGUUAGGGGGGGCUGGGCGGCUGGUUGGGUGGGCGAGUGGUUGGGGGGGGGGGCGGCGCCCCAAGUGGCCCGGCCGGCAUUCCAAAGUGUCUCAUGAUUCCCGUCCCCUCCCAUCCCCUGAAUCUUCCCGCUCCUGCUGCGCCUAUUGCUGCUGACCGUGCGGCCGCUGCCGCCCCUGCGCCUGCUCCUUGCUGUUGCUCGACCUGCAGUGCGGAGAUUGUGGUGAAGCGCUGGACGCCGGAUUCGUACCCGGGUCGCUUCAUGGAGCUGCAGAAGACCAUGGACCGCUGGCUCAAGGAGCUGCUGGAGCAGCGACAGGUACGGGGGGUGGGUGGGGGAUGGGGGGGGUGUAAAUACCAGCCCAAACUAAACCAAACCAAGCGAAACUAGCGGAUCAAAGGCAGAGGUGACAGUUGCAAGCGAUAAGGGGGCAGGUGGGGGAGGUGGGAGGCAGAGGGGCGGGGCCGUGGGGCAGAGGGGCGGGAGUGACUUUUGGACCCGGUGAGGGCCCGGCUGUGAUACUCACACCUCCCACCCCUGCAACCCCCAUCCGCCCCCGCCUUCUGUGCACCUGUACCGCUUUCUCCAACAUCUUGCAAGAAUUGCAACCCCUGCAACCCCCUCCACCUCAACAGGACACACUCGAGGAGCAGGAACAGGCCAGGGCCGCAGCAGCCGCAGCCGCCACGGCAGGCGGCGGCGCAGCCACCGCCUCUGCCCAUCGCGCCAGCGCCGCCGCCGGCGGAGACGGCGCCGCCGCGCCGCCACCCGCCGCCGCGGCCGCCGCCGCCGCCAACGGCCCGGCUGUGUCGUACCACUAUCUGGAGUACGACUUCGCGACGUACAAGCUGAACAUCAUGCCGUUCACCUACCUGCAGCUGGUGGGGCAGAAGCUGCUGUUCCACGCCACACAGCAGGUGGGGUGCGUGUGUGUGUAUGUAUGUGUGUGUGUGUGUGGGUGUGUGUGGGUGGGGGUGGGGUGGGGUGGGCUGGGGUAAAUACUAGCCCAGACUAACGGGGGGUGGGCUGGAGUGUGGGUGGUGGGGGCCGGGUUGCGGCGGUACGCGGUAGAGCCGGAGGUGCACGUAGAGGCAGACUGGUAAGCCCGCUCUCAGCCACACGCCCACACACCCUGCCUGCCCCUCCCGCUUGCCCCUCCCGCCCCGCCCCGCCCCGCCCACCGCCCCGUCCCGCCCCGCCCCGCCCCGCCCACCGCCCCGUCCCGCCCGCAGGUGCCCUGCCUGAUGGAGCUGCCGGAGCGCAUCCCCGACUGGGUCAUCCGCACCCUGUACGCCAAGCCCUUCGCCGAGGCAGUGCGGCUGGUGCGUGUGACAAGGAAACUGCUGAUGCGUUGUGCGGCCGCUACGUGCUAUUGUUUCAUUGACGGGGCGCAUGCUAAACUGGCUUACCUGCAUAAUGCACGCCAACUUCACACGCCAACUUCACACGCACAAUCACAUUCGCCCCCGCCCCCCCCCCCCCUUCCCCCUCUCCUCCCCAGGCCAUCCAGUCGGCUCUGUCCGCCGCCAACGAGCCGCGCGGCGCCGUGAGUGCGCUGGUGGACGAGCGCGCAGCCGGCAGCAAGCAGUACCGCACACUGCUGCAGAGCCGGUGAGGGGGGGAGGAGGGGAGAGGGGGAGUUGUAGAUACCAGCCCAAACUAAACCAAACCCAAUGCAAUAGAGCGAGGAGGAGAGCGUGGCCGGGGGGAGGGGAGAGGGGGGGGAGGGUUUUUGUAAGAACCAAGGCAGGGGUUCAGGCGUGAGUAUUGAAAUGGUGGCGGCGGUGAUGAGUAAGCGGAAGGCGAGCCAAACAAACCAAUCAACUCCACCCCUCCGCUUCAUUUUGUAGCAAGUCUUAAUGUAAUCCCCACGCCAAAAACACGUUCAAACCACCUCAGCGACGAUCGGCGACGUCGCGAGGCGCGCGCUCGGGCUGUGGCCCAGGGCGGUGCCGGCUUCGGCCCCGCCUCCGACGACCUGGUCAGCACCUGGGGGCCGCUAGGAGGAGGCGGAGGCGGAGGCGGAGGAGCAGGCGGUGGAGGUGGAGGUGGAGGUGGAGGUGGAGGUGGAGGAGGCGGUGAGGAUGAUGAGGGCGGCGGUGCGGACGACAGCGAGAGUGCGCUGGAGCAGGCGCGCAACGCGCUGGGGUUCAUCAUGUACCUGUUCAAGUGGGUGGCGCGUGUGUGUGGGGGGGGGGCCAUUCAUGCGAACGGUUUGUAUGAACUAAGGCACAGGGGGGGGGGGUUGUAGAUACCAUCCCAUACUAAAGCAUACGGGGGAAAGUGGGGGGCUGUUUACAGCUUCCCCAGUAGGAAACGAGGCAAGCGGGUGGAACGGGGAGGCUGAGGGGCUGAGGAUCACGCUGAGGAGGGGAUGACUAGGGGGGGGUUGCGGAGUGGCACACACACACACACACAAACACACACACACACACACACACACACACACACACACACACACACACACACAAAAAAAA
RNAcentral lists this long non-coding RNA (69998 nucleotides) under Chlamydomonas reinhardtii. RNAcentral's name for it is "long non-coding RNA (CREI_LNC000063)". The record is from RNAcentral. Lineage: Eukaryota; Viridiplantae; Chlorophyta; Chlorophyceae; Chlamydomonadales; Chlamydomonadaceae.